ACAAAAACACUUUUUCCCGUGCUAAAAACUAUUUUUUCACGCCAAAACCUCAAAACGCAUUUUCCCGCUAAAAUUGCAAAAAAAUGUUUUUCCGUCAAAAUUGCAAAAACGUGUUUUUCCGCAAAAACCAAAAACAUGUUUUCAUGCCAAAAUCACAAAAAAAAAAGUUUUCACGCCAACACCCCAAAAUACAUUUUUUCCGUUAAAACACAAAAAAACACGUUUUCCCGCCAAAGUCACAAACCGUGUUUUCCUGCCAAAAUUGCAAAAACGUGUUUUCCCGCCAAAACCAAAAAAUGUGUUUUCCCGCCAAAACCAAAAAAACCUGUUUUCUCGCCAAAACCGAAAAUUUGUAUUUUCCCGCCAAAACCGAAAAAUCUCAUUUUCCCGCGAAAACCGUAAAAAUGUGUUCCCGCCAAAAACGUGUUUUCCCGCAAAAACCGCAAAACGCGUUUUUCCGCCAAAACCGCAAAAAACGCGUUUUUCCGCCAAAACCGCAAAAAUGCGUUUUUCCGCCAAAACCGCAAAAACGCGUUUUUCCGCCAAAACCAUAAAACGCGUUUUCUCGCCAAAACCGCAAAAACGAGUUUUCCCGCCAAAACCGCAAAACGCGUUUUCUCGCCAAAACCGCAAAAACGCGUUUUCCCGCCAAAACCGCAAAAAUGCGUUUUCCUGCCAAAACCGCAAAAACUCGUUUUCCCGCCAAAACCGCAAAAGCAUGUUUUCCCGCCAAAAUCGUAAAAAUGUGUUUUCCUCCAAAAACGCAAAAAUGUGUUUUUCUGCCAAAAACGCGUUUUCCAGACAAAACCGCAAAAACGCGUUUUUCCGCCAAAAUCGCAAAAAUGCGUUUUUCCGCAAAAAUCGCAAAAAUGUGGUUCCCUCCAAAACCGCAAAACCUUGUUUUCUCGCCAAAACCAAAAAUUUGUAUUUUUCCGCCAAAACAGAAAAAUGUCGUUUUCCCGCCAGAACCGAAAAAUCUUGUUUUCAGCCAAAACAUAAAAAAUGUGUUUUCUCGCUAAAACCGUAAAAACUUGUUUUUCCGCCCAAACUGUAAAUAAUUAAAUAUAAUAUAGUUAAAAUUAAUAUUAAACAUAUGAUUAAAUCAACACAAGGAUAUUUCAAUAAUUUCUUUACUAAACUCAUUUGAAUGGAAAUGAAAAUAAAGAAACAAACAUAAGAUCCAUUUAGAUGAUUCAUCUAGAUGAGCUAUGUGGAUGGACAAACAAACAAUCACAAAAAUCUGAAUGGAUCAUUUGAAUAUAUCAUACAAAUGAAUCAUUUGGAUGGAGAUGGCAAAUGGUGAAACAAACAGCCCCUAUAUGGUUUUUAGGUUUGAAUUCCAUAUUAUUUCAACUAAUAAAUGUCAUAGAUAAUAGUUUCCAAGACAAUCAAACGAUCAUCCAAAUAACUUAAAUUUAACCGAAAAAAAAAUCCUCAGGAUGAAAAAGAGCAAAACUUCCACUUAAACCUCGCCGUUCAACAGUGUGGAGAUUAUAAAGAACUCAAGAUUGUUGUUGGCUGUUGCCUUAGCUUUCCUGAGUAAUUUAUACCAACAUAACGAGAGAUACCGUCAAUCGUUUGUGUUCACAAAGUGCGGUGCAUAGCUCGCCAUUUCCACAAUGUCACUGCAACAAAGAAAAGCAUCAAGAAGAUGUUUUUCACUCAUAGCCUUAGAAGAUGAGAGGGAAAGCUGAAGAAGAAGAAACAUGUUCUUUUCAAGACCAAUGAGAAACGCAGCUUCUGCAAGAGCAGCGAGAAUGGCUUCCUGCGCCAGCAUCUGUUGAGUGGACUACGGUCCCGUAGUUUUUCCUUUUCACAUCGAGGAGGUUUUCCACGUAAAAAGUGAUUGUCUCAUUUAUACGUUUCUGCUUAUACUAUAUUCUGCCAUCGUCGAAGUAUUUUCUUCACAGGUUCACACAAAGUCAGGGGAACACGACCAUUAGUAUUUCCGCUGCGCCGUGUGACUUUUCCCAACAGAGUGGAUCACUUGAAUGCGUUUCAGGGAUUGCUCAACAAGUUGUAUGAUAUGGGCAUCAGGUUUGAUGAUGAGAUUCACGGUCUAUGGUUUCUCGGUACUUUACCAGACUCUUGGGAGGUUUUCAGGAUGUCUCUUUGUAACUCCGCGUCGGAAGGUGUUAUUUUGAUGGAUUCAGUGAAGAACAGUGUUCUUAAUGAGGAAGCAAGAAGGCAGUUGAAUGCUAGUAGUUCGCGUCAGAUGCCUUUGUUACUGAGUCUAGGGGGAGAAGUACCAGUAGAGAUCCCAAGAGAGACAAGAGCAGGAGCAGGAGCAAGUCUAAUAGAUUUGCAAAUAUGGAGUGCUAUUUCUAUCAUAAGAAAGGGCACAUGAAGAAGGAUUGCUGGAAGUUGAAAAACAAGCAGCAAGGAAAUCAAGAAGAAAAGGUGGAUCAGGUGACUCUCACCGAAGAUCAGUUUCUGAUUCUUCUUGAGGGUGAUGCCAUUAAUGUCGCAUACCAGGACACCAGUUGGGUGAUUGAUAGUGGAGCUACUACUCAUGCUACAUCACAGCGGGAUUUGUUUUUUACCUUUACUACGGGUAAUUAUGGUUCUGUGAAGAUGGGGAAUGAUGCGAUGGCUCAAGUUGCUGGCAUUGGUGAUGUUUGCUUGGAGACUAGUCUUGGUACUAGGCUGGUGCUUAAGGAUGUUAAGCAUGUUCCUGAUAUUAGGAUGAAUCUGAUAUCGACGGGAAAACUUGAUGAUGAGGGUUUUUUCAGUUUGCACGGUGGUAAAUGGAAGCUCUCUCGCGGUUCUUUGAUUGUGGCUCGAUGUGAGAAGUCUUCAUCUUUCUAUUGGAUGCAGGCUAAGGUAUCCAAAGAUGUUGUUAAUGCGGUGGAGAAUGAUAAUGCCAUGGAGUUAUGGCAUAAAAGACUCGGUCACAUGAGUGAGAAGGGAAUGGCUGUGUUGUCUAAGAAUGAGGUGAUUCCAGGAAUCUCUGGUUUGCACCUACAGAAGUGUUCGCAUUGCUUUUCGGGAAAACAACACAAGGUAUCUUUCAAGUCUUCCGCACCUUCUAGGAAACCCGAGGUACUGGAUUUGGUACACUCAGAUGUGUGUGGUCCAAUGAAGACAAGAUCUUUUGGUGGCGCAUCAUAUUUUAUGACUUUCAUUGAUGAUCAUUCAAGGAAGUCGUGGGUAUAUCCUAUGAGGACGAAGGAUCAGGUGCUGGGAUAUUUCAAGCAUUUUGUAGCAUUGUUUGAGAGACAAACAGUGAAAAAGCUGAAGUGUAUCCGCAGUGAUACUGGUGGAGAGUAUCUUGGACCAUUUGAUGCUUAUUGCAAAGAGCAUGGAAUAAGGCAUCAGUUCACGCCACCUCAUACUCCACAGUUGAAUGGGUUGGCUGAAAGGAUGAAUCAGACGAUUGUUGAGAGGAUGAGAUGUUUGAUCUUACAGUCAUGCUUAUCGAUGACUUUCUGGGCAGAAGCUUUGAACACGGUGGUUCAUAUGCUGAAUUUGUCACCAAGUACUCCAUUGGAUGGUGAUGUUCCAGAGAGGGUUUGGACUGGUAAGGAUGCUUCUUACAGUCACUUGAGGGUCUUUGGGUGUAAGGCAUUUGUUCAUAUUCCCAAGGUUGAUAAAUCGAAGCUUGAGAUGAAGUCGCGGCAGUGUGUGUUCAUCGGUUAUGGUCAGGAUGAGUUCGGGUACAGAUUUUAUGAUCCCGUUGAGAAGAAGCUCAUAAGGAGCAGAGAUGUUGUGUUUAUGGGAGAUCAAACGAUUAAGGACAUUGACAAGUCUAAAAAGCCAACUCAGAUUUUUGUGGGUUUGAUCGAUACAGAGGCUACUCCUUCUACAUCGGUUCACGGUGAGGUUGAGGUUGAGGAUGAGGUUCAGGAUAAUACACCCAGUGCAGAUGCUCCCGCACAUGAAGAUUGUAGUGGUGAUCAUGGUGACGAUCAUGGUGAGACACCAGCUGCUGAGAACCAACCUACCACUGUUAGAAGAUCCGAGAGAGGUCUUAAACCGUCGACAAGGUAUGAUCCUAGUGAGUAUGUAUUACUUACUGAUGGGGGAGAGCCAGAAAGCUAUGAAGAAACUUUGGAGGAUGAACACAAGGAUAAGUGGUUUGGAGCCAUGGAUGAGGAGAUGGAUUCUUUUGAGGAGAACCAUACUUUUGAGUUGGUGGAAUUGCCUAAGGGCAAGAAGGCUCUGCUUAAUAAGUGGGUGUACAGAAUUAAGCAUGAGAAUGACAAUUUGCCACCUCGACACAAGGCUAGAUUGGUUGUGAAACGCUACAGCCAAAAGAAGGGAAUUGAUUAUGAUGAAAUUUUUUCUCCUGUUGUGAAAAUGUCAUCCAUUCGGGUUGUACUUGGAUUGGCAGCGAGCCUUGAUCUAGAGGUUGAGCAAAUGGAUGUGAAGACUGCUUUCUUUCAUGGUGAUUUGGAGGAAGAGAUCUACAUGGAACAACCGGAAGGCUAUGUGAAAAAGGGCAAAGAAAAUUUGGUUUGCCGCUUGAAGAAAAACCUUUAUGGAUUAAAGCAAGCACCAAGGCAGUGGUACAUGAAGUUCAAGUCUGUUAUGGGGGAGCAUGGUUAUGGAGAGACUGAUUCAGACCAUUGUGUAUUUGUGAAAGUGUUCGGCGAGGAUGAUUUUAUCAUCUUGUUGCUGUAUGUCGAUGAUAUGUUGAUUGUGGACAGGAACAUGUAUAGAAUUAAGGAGCUGAAAGAGCAGCUAAGCAUGUCCUUUGCCAUGAAAGAUAUGGGUCCAUCGAAACAGAUUCUCGGUAUGAGAAUUAUUCGAGAUAGAGGUGAGAAGCUGAUUCACUUAUCUCAGGAGAAGUACAUUGAAAAAGUACUUAAGCGGUUUCACAUGGACAAGUCUAAAGUGUUGAGUACUCCUCUUGCUCCACACUUGAGACUGAGCAGUCAACAAAGUCCGAAGACAUAUGCGGAGAAGGAAGAUAUGGCGAAGGUUCCAUAUGCUUCUGCAGUGGGUAGUUUGAUGUAUGCCAUGGUUUGUACAAGACCAGAUUUAGCCUACGCCGUUGGAAUUGUCAGCAGGUUUCUCUCCAAUCCGGGAAGAGAACAUUGUAAUGUUGUGAAGUGGAUUUUGAGAUAUCUCUGAGGGUCUUCUGAUUUGAAGAUUACAUUUGGAGGUAAGAAGCCAUUGCUUGUCAGUUACACUGAUUCUGACAUGUCGGGAGAUGCUGAUUCUAGCAAAUCUACUUCGGGUUACUUGGUAACAUUUGUGGGUGGAGCUGUGGCAUGGCAGUCAAGAUUGCAAAAGUGUGUUGCACUAUCUACCACUGAGGCAGAGUUCAUUGCUGCAGUUGAAGCUUGUAAAGAGUUGUUGUGGAUGAAGAACUUCUGUGAAGAGAUCAGUUUCAAGCAAGAAAAUUAUGUGUUGCUUUGUGAUAGUCAAAACGCUAUUUGUCUCAGGAAGAAUUCUACAUUUCAUUCGAAGUCAAAACACAUUCAGAGGAGGUAUCAUUGUAUACGUGAUGUGGUUGCUUCUAAGGAAGUGGAACUUGAAAAAGUUCAUACGGAUGAUAAUGGAGCUGAUAUGAUGACGAAGUCAUUACCGAGGGGGAAGCUUGAAGUAUACCGAGGGAUAGCCGGAAUGGUUGUUUCCUCCACCUAGUCGGAGGGGAAUUGUGUUGGGUUCCUCCUAGAUGGAGGUAACCCAUUGGGUUUGGUUUUGACAACCAAACUUGGUGUUGGGCAAUGGUAUUAGCACAUGAGGUUAGUAUUGGGUCUUGGGAGUUAAUGACCCAUAAUGUAAGUCUCCUAACCUAAUUUGGAGAGUGGUUGCAGACAUAACACGAGCAGACAAGAUCAGACUCACAAUAAUAGAGUUUAGAGAUAGACAAAAGAGAGAAAGAAGAGAGAAGGAGGAGAAAACUCGUCAGGCUAUUUCAAGACUGGUUUUAGAGGAUCAAACGGAACUUAAUCGGGCUGAUAUUUUGUGGGAAGCUUCUUCAGUCAGUGGGUUAGAGGUUCACCGAAAGGAUUUGGAUUUCAAAGGUUGAAUUUUCUGGGUUUUAGUGAAGCUGGUCGUCACAGUUCUUCAGCGGGAUAGUCUUGGGGGUUUGGUAAAUCCGACGGUGAGAUCUUCUCUUCUUGAGCUGAAAUUUGGCAGAGGUAUUUUUUACUUGUUUAUUUUGGAUUUGUACGGUUGGAUUAGUCUCUCGAUGCCGGAAUCCUUGUGAGCUGAGGUCGUUUGGUUGCUGCCGGUUUUGAAGGUUUGUGUUGCUCUCUUGUUGUUGUUGUUGUUUGUGUUGGAGAUAGCUCUUUGAAGCUAGUGUCUCUGUUCUGUUCUUGUUGUUGAACAGGGAGGACGUGGUUGUACUCACAAAUAUUUAUAUAGUGGAUUGUUGAGUGGACUACGGUCCCGUGGUUUUUCCUUCUCACAUCGAGGAGGUUUUCCACGUAAAAAGUGAUUGUCUCAUUUACGUUUCUGCUUAUACUAUAUUCUGCCAUCGUCAAAGUAUUUUCUUCACAGGUUCACACAAGGUCAGGGGAACAUGACCAUUAGUAUUUCCGCUGCGCCGUGUGACUUUCCCCAACAGAGUGGUAUCAGAGCUUCUAGUUUUAGAGCUUUGGUUUUGAUAACUUUGGGUUAUUAUUUGCUUGUGUGAAAGAUGGAAAAUAUGAGCAGGAUGAUAAGCUUGGAUGGUGCUAACUAUCAUCUAUGGAAGGGCAAGAUGGAUGAUUUGCUCUUUGUUAAAGAAUUCCAUGUUCCAGUCUUCGAGGAGAAGAAACCUGAGAAGAAGACGGAUGAAGAGUGGAAACUGCAGCAUCGCCAAGUGUGUGGGUUGAUAAGGCAGUGGGUAGAUGAUAAUGUGUUGCAUCAUAUUGAGACUGAGACGGAUGCUUGUUCUAUGUGGAAGAAGCUGGAGCAGUUAUAUGCUAGGAAGACCGGAAACAACAAGAUGUACAUGAUCAAGAAGUUGAUUGAGUUGAGGUAUCAGGAGGGGACUCCGAUGACGGAUCACUUGAAUGCGUUUCAGGGAUUGCUCAACAAGUUGUCUGAUAUGGGCAUCAAGUUGUUUCCGGUCUUCCUAGCAUAUAACUGCUCCAGCUUCUUCCACAAAGAACGAGCAUCCGUCUCAGUCUCAAUAUGAUGCAACACAUUAUCAUCUACCCACUGCCUUAUCAACCCACACACUUGACGAUGCUGCAGUUUCCACUCUUCAUCCGUCUUCUUCUCAGGUUUCUUCUCCUCGAAGACUGGAACAUGGAAUUCUUUAACAAAGAGCAAAUCCUCCAUCUUGCUCUUCCAUAGAUGAUAGUUAGCACCAUUCAAGCUUAUCAUCCUGCUCAUAUUUUUCAUCUUUCACACAAGCAAGUAAUAACCCAAAGUUAUCAAAACCAAAGCUCUAAAACCAGAAGCUCUGAUACCAUUCUGUUGGGGAAAGUCACAGAGCGCAGCGGAAAUACUAAUGGUCGUGUUCCCCUGACCUUGUGUGAACCUGUGAAGAAAAUACUUCGACGAUGGCAGAAUAUAGUAUAAGCAGAAACGUAAAUGAGACAAUCACUUUUUAAGUGGAAAACCUCUUCGAUGUGAGAAGGAAAAACCACGGGACCGUAGUCCACUCAACAAUCCACUAUAUAAAUGUUUGUGAGUACAACCACGUCCUCCCUGUUCAACAACCAGAACAGAACAGAGACACUAGCUUCAAAGAGCUAUCUCCAACACAAACAACAACAACAACAAGAGAGCAACACAAAGCUUCAAAACCGGCAGCAACCAAACGACCUCAGCUCACAAGGAUUCCGGCAUCCAGAGACUAAUCCAACCGUACAAAUCCAAGAUAAACAAGUCAAAAAUACAUCUGCCAAAUUUCAUUGCAAGAAGAGAAGAUCUCACCGUCGGAUUUACCAAACACCCAAGACUGUCCCGCUGAAGAACUGUGACGACCAGCUUCACUAAAACCCAGACAACAGAAAAUCCAACCUUUGAAAUCCAAAUCCCUUCGGUGAACCUCUAACCCACUGACCUUUCCACAAAAUAUCAGCCCGAUCAACUUCCGUUUGAUCCUCCAAAACCAGUCUUGAAAUAGCCUGACGAGUUUUCUCCUCCUUCUCUCUUCUUUCUCUCUUUUGUCUCUCUCUAAACUCUAUUAUUGUGAGUCUGAUCUUGUCUGCUCGUGUUGUGUCUGCAACCACUCUCUAAAUUAGGUUAGGAGACUUACAUUAUGGAUCAUUAACUCCCAAGGCCCAAUACUAACCUCAUGUGCUAAUACCAUUGCCCAACACCAAAUUUGGUUGUCAAAACCAAACCCAAUGGGUUAACUCCAUCUAGGAAGAACCCAACAGCAUCUUUUCCAGUCACAGCAUACUCACUGACAAAAUCCUGCAAAAAAAAGUUGCACGAGUGAGCAAAGAUAACGCUAAAAAGCCUCAUAUAAUCUAUAACAACAACACCCUUGGACCCUUGCGUGAAGUGCCGUCGAAUUGAUGAUACAUGGAAAACAAACUGCUAGCAGAAGUGUAUAUCUGUGACAAAAGGAAAACACUUUCUUUCAGACAGAAACACACACACAAAAGAAACAGUUUCAAAGUUAUGUUUUUACAUGAAAAUCAUAGUAAUCAGCAGGAUGGUCAAGCAGACUAGAUGAUCCAUCACAGUUGGAGAUGAUUUUGAUAUCUGAGAGUAAGCCUUUUUGAUAGUAUCAUAUAACACAAUGUAGUUUCCUGUACAGUUGUAAAUCUCAUCUAGAGUCAAAGAAGACAAUCACUAAAAGGUCAAGUGUGAGUGUUUCCACAAUCCUCGUUCCCAAUAGCAACUUACUUCAGUUCAAAAGGCUCUUGGCGUCCGAUUAGAGCUCCAACAGAUCCCCAUGUAGAGUUAGCAUCUCCUCUGAGCAAACUCGAUACCAUCAAGUGCUUCCUGAAAAAGAAAAAAGAAGAAGGAGAAGAAGUUUUGGUUUUGAGCUUCUUGGCUAAUGAAACACAAGAGUGGUUUUAACAGUCAUACUUGAACAAAAGGCAAUGAAUACUGGCGGUUUCAACUUCAUCUUAUGACUAAUCCCUGCAUAAAGGUUGAAGCACUUGUAAAGAACAACAACGUCAAUGGAUGUGGAAUACAAACAGAAUGUUACGAGACUACCGUUGUUGAACACCCAAAUUGGGGCUGCUCCAAUGUCUUCAAAGCAUAAUGAACGGCCCACCAGUUUCAAGCCCUGUACAAAACCAAAAGCUUAAGAAUGAUUAGUCUUUCAUGGCUUUUUUCACGAUUAGUUUAGCUAAGAUUCUAACCUCUGUCGCUAACGAGUUCAGCCAGCACCAGCAUGGUUUAUCUCCUGCAGAUGAUUUGAACCAUAUUAGCAUUAAAGAAAACUCGGCUUGUAACGUUUUUAGCAAACCUUGAAGAAAAUGCCGAAAAGAGUAUCAGGAAUGACUCUUCCAGCUCCAUUAGAAGCAUUAACUUGCAAAGUCGCGGCUGGUUGUGUUGUAUCUUGUUCUUGAGAAGCUAUAACAACAACAUGAAGGCUUUGAUCGAGACAAGAAAUAGGUUGAGGAUCAGACAGAAGAGGGGAUGGAAGUAUUAAAGAAUGUCUGUUUUUGUCGAAAUAUUUUGCUUAAGAGUAACAAGCAAAAAAAAUUGAAGGAAAACUUGCUUUCACGUUUGAUGGAAUUGCUUGUUUUCGUGGAAGAAGGUGGAUGUUGAUUAGAAGCCACGACUACUCCCUGAAACCCUCAUUCCUUCCUUCACCUGCUCAUCGACUUUUUUUUUAAUGUGAUAAAGAUUGUUUUUCUAUUUUUUUUGGGCAUAAUGAUGAAUUUUUUGCAUUGAGUUCCACUUCUACAUUGACAUAUUUUUUUUUUCUAGUACGUUAGAAACAUUCAUGUCAACUAAAAGUUAACUUUUUCGCGCGGAAUAUUGUUUUAUUAUUGCUAAGAGCAUGAUUUUAUUUUUGGAUAAUGUAAUUAUGUUAUCGUUUUUAUUUGUUAAGAUCAUUAUUUGAUGUUUUUAGUUUGUUAUGUAGUAGGUGAUAAGUUAAUAUAUUUUGCGUUUGUUUUUUUUUGAAUAAUGUGUUGUUGUGUAUAUAGUACUUGUUAGUAGUCAAAUGAGCUUCUAACGUAAACUAAUAUUGAAUUUCAAUAACUUUGCAUCUACGCAUUUGUUGAUUCUAAGAUUAACGGUUUCAUCGUCAAAAUUGUAUUAUAUUUUUUUCAUACUUUUGAAAAUUAUAAUUUUUAAGAUGUUUUUUGCCUUCUCCCCAUAUUUUAAACUUGAGCCCUCACCGUCUAUGUAUUUCGUUACAAAUCUGGUGUGCGGUGCUUCUCACCAUCACCGGAAAAAGACUCACAUUUUUCUCUUGUUCUUCUUGUCUUCUUCACCUAUGAGAUUAUAUGGUAUUUGUUGCAGAAUGGGUUUAUGAGUUUUCAGUUGUUCGGUUGCUUCCCACGGCAUUGUAUGUUGUUCCAGUCAAUAUUGAUUGCUCCUCUUCUUCCUUAGAUUUCAGCUGAUGUUAGGAACUGCAUCUCCUUGGUUGGGUCAGAGUUUAUUCGUCUUUGAUUUUGUAUUCCUCGUCGUUGGCUUACCGUCAAUAGUCUCUGCUCGUUUUGGUUUUCAAGAUCCAGUUUUUGGUGUUCUGACUUCUAUGCUCUCUUUCAUAUAUAGCUCGAGGACGGCUCCAUAGUUUUCUGAUUUCGCUCCGUCUCCCUUUCCCUCUCUAUUCUUGCAUCUCUUUGCAGCUUUCAUCGCAUCUCUGGUGGCUCUCCCUUUCACCAUGUUUGCCAGUCGAGAUUUGGAUAAUGUUUUCGUUCGUGUAUGCUAUGUGGGCUUGGAAGGUUAUUUCUGGUCUCAAGUUUAGUCUCUGAUUUUUUGGUGGUUGUCUUCCAUUCUCCCUCUCUCAAGUUGCUUCUUUUCUUUCCAUGUUUUCCUUGGUAUAGGUGUGCGGAGUUAGUCUCUUGGAGCUUUGGUCCCUUCUAUCCAGAGCUUUGUGGUUUUUCAGUUGCAUGCCGUAUUGUAUGUUCUUUUUUAGUCUGUGAGGUGUUUCUUUCUUUUUAGCUACUGGUUGUGAUUCCGGUGUUUUAGGAAUAUAUUUUUCUGCUUUUUGGUGGCUUUGGCCUUUCGAUUAUUAUUCUUCCUUUGGCCCGCUUUUUUAGUUUAUGUGUUGGUUGUCUAGUUUCUUAUUCUUAAUUUGAUUAUCUUAUGAUACUAAUAUUGAAAUAAAUAUAAUUUGUAAAUGAAAUAAUAAAAAUUAGUAAAAAUAAUAAAAUGAUGAAAAGUCUUGCUAUUUUUAGGUGUGAAUAAAUUAAAUAUUUAAAAUAUAUUUAUAUUAUUUUAUUUAUUUCUUGAAUUUUAGAGACCAAUAAGUGUGAGAAGGAUUAGAUAAUACACAAUUAGAAAUUGAUGGAGAAAAUUGCAAUAAUUUAAAAGAAAAAGAAUUUAAAUACACAAAAAAACAUGAGGACACAUGUCAACAAACCCCCCUUCCACAUGUCAUAAGAAGGGAAAAAGCCAACUUUAUAUAUAAAGAUUGAUAACUUGUAUUUUGUAAUUAAACACAUUCUAUAUAAAAUAUUAUUACUCCUUGUUUGCUUAUCAAAUGAAAACUCAGAUGUGUGUUUACUUAUGUAUAAUGUUCUGUUUUAUUUAAUUUCAGGUUCGUUAGUAGUGGGAUGAACUUAUUUUGACUCAAUAAAACUGAAGCUGUAUGAAUUGUUAGUCACUUAUGUGUUUUUAGUACUAUCCACCUUUGUGGAACCAACCGAGUUUGUGUAUCGGUUUGCUUGUUUUUUCAUCUUGAGAUCUAUGAGCAGAAGGCGUAUGGGAGGAAGAACCGAAGAGAGAAACAAUUAGUGGCUUACAUUAAGAGUCACAGCAUCAGCAUCUCAGCUUCCGUUCUCUACUUAAUGACGAUGGAGAUUUAACUAGAGAAUAAGCGUGAAAAAAAGACUAAUUUGUCAAACUAAAUUUAAUUACGUUUUCUACUUUUGAUGAUAUAAAACUAACUUCAUGUUCAAAUUUUCAAGUUUCAACGGACCAAACCCGAUGAAAAGUUAGAUUACUAGAGAGAGGAAUGAUUUAUAUAGCAAAUGGUGGUGGUGAGUUCAUAGCUGGCAUUUAGUGUCCUGGUCUUCUCUCACCAAGACAGACACCAUCAUCUGAUAUUUUUGCUAGCUAUAAAAGCUAUUGCUUUCUUCAAAUAGUACCUUGCCGGACUCUAUGUUCUUUGUUUAUCAUUAAACACAGAAGGAUCAUUCCAUAAAAAGAUCUCACCUAAGAACCUAAUUCCAAUUUCUUUUGAACAUUUUGGUUCACCAGGAGUAAACUAACUCCACCAUCAAAGAUUGGUUAGGGGUUCAUUCAAAGUUCGAUAAUAAUAAUAAAAUUAAGAAAUAAAUUCAAAAGAGAGGGUAGAUGUCUUGUUAUACAACAGAAAAGAGAGCUCCUAAAUGCCACUUAAAUAUCUAUAUAGAUUCUGUUUUCUUAAUACAGACAUUGAAGGUACUCAAAACACUAAAUUCUUGUCAGGGAUUGCUUGCAGAAGGAUGCCUGCAGGGUAAAGAAAAGAGUAAGCAAUGGCUAUCAGGAAUAAUCUAAUGGACAAAACAACAACAGUUUAGUACGAGCAAACCUGAAGUCUGGACGGUUCAACGAAUGCACAUAGUUCAUAGAGGGCAAGUUCGGCCACGGUGUGUAACCACCCGGGUUGUUAAUAAACGGACUCAUAACCGGAUGCCCGUAGCUUAGAUUAGCUUGAUGACCUCUUGGCAUCUGCGGGAAGCCCCCAUCGUGAAAUGGCAUAUGCAUUGGCAUCGGACUGAAGCUUUGACCAGAUGGCAUAACCCUAACGUACCUACAAAACAUGAAUUAAUGGAAUGUCAGCCCGUUCAAGAAGAGAUGGAAUGGUGUUUUUACCUGUAGGCAGGAUCCGCUACAUAUCUGUCAUAGCUCCUGUCAUAAUCAGGAUCGUACCGAUCUUUCUCCCUAUCUCUGAUAAUAGCUACUCUAGAAGUCCUCGAACCACCAGCAUCAACAGCAGCACUAUUACUAACCGCCACGUCAUUCUCAUUUCGGUUUACACCUUCAAGAGGAGGAGAAUCUUCAGAGUCAGAGCUACUAGGACUGUUAAAGAUCCGAGCCCGGGCCUUAUCAUACUCUUCUUUCCUCUCCUCAACACUCCUCAGAAGAUUCUGCUGCACUCCACACCCGCCACCUCCGCUCCCGGAUCCUCUCUUGGGUCUAGCCUUGAUUGCAAUCUUGAAGCCCUCUGGUCUACCGUUCUCAGGCUGCUUAACGGGGAUUUCUGAUAAGCAGACGUGAGGAAACCUGCUCUCGGCUGUCUUUGUCACCAAGAUCCUGUUGUCUGAUCCGUCUAGAGAACCGUUACCGUUCUCCAAAGACAUUGUCGCUAGUCCGUAAUGCUGAGCGACUCGGUGUGCGGCGAGACGCAGGUAAGACGUUGGAAAGGGUUGGAACUCGAACUGGAGCUGGUCAGGGUUUUGAAAGAACUUUUGUAUGUCGAGCUCCAUACGCAGAACUGAAACACGUAACGACAAAAAGAUGCAACCUUUAUCCAUCAUCACCCAUCAACCACAUUUAAAGAAUCUUUCCAGAUAUAGAAAUUAAACGAAAAAGUGUUGACAUUUGAGGGUAAUAAUGCAAAACAGAGUGAUUAGUCAAGUUUCAAUGUUCAUGAUGCCAAUGAAAACAACACGCAACCGUAAUCACCAAAACAUUGAAUCGAGGAAAGGAUUGAACUUUAGAGAAACCCAUGAUUCUCCAAUUCUAUCAAACCCUAGAAAGCUAAUGAGAACAGAUCAAUAUGUGAAAUUGAAUCGUGGGUUUGGGAGAGAAUUGACUAACUGGUGAGACGAUGACGAGGGUUCUGAAGAGCUUCGACCAGGAAAGGAUCCACCAUAGCUUCCUUCUCGGUCAUAGGGGCGGCCAUAGAUUAGCUUAUCUCUCUCUCCUCUGUUUUGAAAUCUCUUUCGCCGGAGAUUAGAAGAGAAAGCACAUCAUGGAGACAAAAAGGAGAUUAUUGUUUCUGAUGAGCAUUCUGGCGAAACGAUGAGGAUGAAGGAAGAUGAAAAGACCUUCUCGACCUUUAUCUCUCUUUCUCUGCCAAUCAAGUUGGGAGAAUUAAAAAGAAAGUUGCUGCUGCCUUGAGUUUUUUUUUUUUUUUUUUUUAAUAUUCUUUUAUAGGUAGGUCUGUUUUAUUUAUUUUUGUGGAUUAAAUUGUUGGACUUUUGGACAAAUUGAAUAUGUUUUUUUUUUUUUUGAUGACUAAAAUUUAUUUUUUAAGAAGUGGGUUUUGCAAAGUUGAUUUGGUGGAAUCAUAAAAAUAUAAAAAAAGUAUUGAUCUUUCUUCUAGAAGUUGGGUAGUUGUGUGAUACUUCGUUUAUUCAUGUGAAUAGACACUGCAUUUUGUCUAUAAUUACAAAUGUACAAUAGUUUCAUCUAGCAAAGUGGGGGAGACAUUGUACAUUUUGAUCAGAUCAAACCACCACUACAAGAAAACGUGCCCAUAACAACGAAGAUUUACGACGAAAAUAUUUUGUCGUAAAUUUACAUGGUGUUUACAACGCAGUUACGAGGAAUCCAACUUUCGUCGUAAACGCCAUGUAAAUUUAUGACGAAUAAUGUUCGUCGUAAAAUCCAUGUAACUUUACGACGAAAGUACGUGGAAUGAGAAAUACGUCGUAAUCAUUACAUCGACAUUACAACAAAACAUGUUACCGUUAUAUUUAGGUGAAAACGUGUAUUCAAUGUGCUUUAACUUACCUAAUUUCGUCGUAAAGUCGUUGUAAAUAUUAUGUUAAAACCAUGUAAAAUCCAUGUAAAACAUUCCUUGUAAAAUCGUUGUUAUAUUUCAACUACCCAACUCAAAAAUUUCUCUAUAUAUAUGUCAUUUCCCACAACUCUCUUCCUCACAACACACAAACGGAAAAAAAAAUCCAAAAAAAAAUCAGAAAAAAAGAUUUUAAAAAAAAAUCUAAGAAAAAAAUGCCCGGUGGCGGUACAACACAAAAAUAUAAAAUCUAAGAAAAAAAUGCCCAGUGGCGGUGCAAAGUUGAUUUGGUGGAAUCAUAAAAAUAUAAAAAAAUCUAAGAAAAAAAUGCCCGGUGGAAUCAUAAAAAUAUAAAAAAAGUAUUAAAACGGAUCAUAAUUUACCUGAGAAUUGCAUGGAUGCAUGGGCGGAGUUGUUUAAAGAGUAUUUGCCAGAAGACAACGUGUCUGCUGAAUCUUAUUAUGAGAUUCAGAAAUUGGUUUAUAGUCUUGGGUUGCCUUCGGAGAUGAUUGAUGUUUGCAUCGACAACUGCAUGAUCUACUGGAAAGAAGAUGACAAGUUAGAAGAGUGUCGAUUCUGCAAAAAACCACGAUUCAAACCGCAAGGCCGUGGGAGGAAUAGGGUACCGUACCAAAGGAUGUGGUACCUACCAAUUACAGACAGAUUGAAAAGAUUAUAUCAAUCUGAGAGGACUGUUGCGUCGAUGAGUUGGCAUGCGGAACAUGUCCAGAGAGAUGGUGAGGUUGCACAUCCAUCAGACGCAAGAGCGUGGAAACAUUUCAACAAGGUACACGCAAAUUUUGCUACAAAUAUUCGAAAUGUCUAUCUUGGGUUAUGCACCGAUGGAUUUAGUCCAUUUGGAAUGUCUGGUAGACAAUAUUCUUUGUGGCCAGUCAUUCUUACGUCGUACAAUUUACCGCCGGAUAUGUGCAUGGAACAAGAAUUUCUAUUUUUGACCAUAUUAAUCCCUGGGCCGAAGCAUCCAAAACGGUCUCUUGAUGUUUUUCUUCAACCGUUGAUAGAAGAGCUAAAGCAAUUGUGGUCAGAAGGGGUGAGGACGUACGAUUGUUCCUUGAAAAAUAAUUUUACGAUGCGAGCAGACGAUAAGUGAUUUCCCUUCUUAUGGGAUGUUGUCUGGCUGGACAACACAUGGAAGAUUAUCUUGUCCAUAUUGUCUUGGAUCGACGGAUGCUUUUCAACUGAAGAAUGGUAGGAAGAGUUGUUGGUUUGAUUGUCAUCGUCGCUUUCUUCCACUUGCCCAUCCGUACAUAAGAAAUAAGACAUUGUUUCGGCACAAAAAAAAUGUCAGAGACGGUCCUCCUCCAUAUCUCACCGGCCAGCAGAUCGAAGCAGACAUUGAUUAUUACGGAGCUCAGGAAACAGUUAAAGUUGGAGGAAAUUGGCAUGUUCCUGGAAAUAUGUCUGAUGGGUAUGGUGUCUCUCACAAUUGGCAUAAGAAGAGUAUAUUUUGGGAGCUACCCUAUUGGAAGGAUCUUCUCUUACGCCGUAAUCUGGAUGUCAUGCAUAUUGAGAAGAACUUUUUUGAGAAUAUCAUGAAUACAUUACUUAACGUCCCUGGGAAGACAAAAGGUAACAAAAAGUCAAGGAUGGACUUACCUGAUAUUUGCCCAAGAAGUGAGUUACAUAUCAAGAGCAAUGGAAACGUUCCUGUUCCCAUCUUCCGGUUGUUAUCAGAAGCCAAAACAACCUUGUUUGACUGGGUUGCAUCAGAAUUUAAGUUUCCUGAUGGUUAUGUUUCAAAUCUGUCAAGAUGUGUUGAACGAGGUCAAAAGUUCUCCGGAAUGAAGAGUCAUGAUUGUCAUGUGUUUAUGCAACGACUACUUCCAUUUUCUUUUGCCGAGCUCCUUCCAACAAAUAUCCAUGAAGCACUUGCAGGUAAUUAUAAUUUUAUAAUAUAUAUACAUAUGUUAUGAAAUGUUAUUAAUUUGAUUACUUUUGCAAUAUACAGCCAUCGGCGCAUUUUUCAGAGAUCUUAGCACACGUACGUUCAAGGAAGAAGUCAUCGAACAACUUCAUCAUAACAUUCCGAUCAUAUUGUGCAACCUAGAGAAGAUAUUUCCUCCUUCAUUUUUGACGUCAUGGAGCAUCUAGUUGUCCACCUACCGUAUGAAGCAUUGCUUCGUGGACCUGUUCACAACGGAUGGAUGUAUCCGUAUGAGCGACAGAUUAAACAUUUGAAGGGGAAAACAAGAAAUCUUGCAAAGUUGGAAGUUUAAUAGUUGUGGGGAGUUUGACAGCCGAAACAUCUAACUUCACAUCAUACUACUUUGCUCCAACUGUUCGUACAAGAAAAAGAGUUCCUAGAAGAUAUGAUGAUGGUGGAGUACUGACAUCAUAUCCAAUUGAUGGUGUUUCUCACAUUUUCUGCGAAAUUGCACGGUUUGGUGGUAAAACAAAAGAAGUAUGGUGGUCAUGUGAAGAGGAUAAACAUAGUGCCCACACUUAUAUUCUGCUCAACUGCGAGGAUGCAGUGACCCGUUACUUUGAAAGGUAAAUAUUUUUGUGAAUGUUAAUUAUAUGAAUUGAAGUUAAUUAUGUAUGACAUGAUUAUUUGUUUAAUUUGCAGCAUGUUUGUAUCUCAAGUUGAAGAAGUAAUACCAGAAAUAUCUGCAACUGAUGUGGACACACGUAAAGAUAAGCACUUUAUCAAGUGGUUAAAAUCACAGGUACGUAAUAUAUCUCAUACAUUGAUUAAUUAAGUAAGUGUUUUGAUACUUCAAUAUUAAUUAAGAAUAUCUGCUUUUUGCAGGUUGAUUAUGACGAUCCUUAUUGUCCCGUAUGGUUUUACAAAUUGGUUCAAGGUCCAGUUGCAAAGGUCACCACAUCACCUAUGUAUUUCACACGAGGAUUUACCUUUCACACAUACGAGUAUGGGAGACAUCGGGCAACGAGUAACUAUGGAAUAUGUGUGAAAGGUGAAACAGACUUUUACGGGAUCUUGCAGGAGAUUAUUGAAGUGGAAUUUCCGGGGUUAUUGAAGCUAAAAUGCGUCCUCUUCAAAUGUGAAUGGUUCGAUCCUAUUGUGAGCCGAGGGAUUCGGUAUAACAAAUUUGGUGUUGUGGAUGUCAAUUUUGGGAGAAGAUAAAACAAAUUUGAGCCUUUCAUUUUAGCUUCACAAGCCGAGCAAGUUAGCUUCCUUCCUUAUCCUCGGCUUCGAACUUCCAGGAUAAACUGGUUAGGUGCUAUCAAAAUUAUACCUCGUGGAUGCAUUGUCGCUGGAGAAGAACCGCCCUUGCAAGAAGAAGACGCUAUCAAUGAAGUUGAGGUACCAGAACAACCAACUGAUGAAAUCCUUUUGAUCGACCCGCAAAACUUUCAAUAUGAAGAUAUUCCCGAAGAUGCGACAGAUGAAGGACGUGAAGACGAGUUCGAGAGAAGCGACGAUGAUGAUUGUAAUGAUAGUGAUGAGAACGACAACGAAUUAGAGUGAUGUAAUAUUGAUGAGAACGAAAACGAUUUUGAGUGAUGUAUAUGUAACAAAUGUUGUAUUUCUCUAUUGUAACGUAUGUUUAAAGAAAUAUUGUUUUUUUACCAUCUUAAUGUAUGUGUAACAAAUGUUGUUUUAUAUAAUAUGUAUUUCUUUAGUUUUUAAAAAAUUAUUUGGAGUUUUAGGGUUUUAGAGUUUAAGUUGGAGAAAGAGCAAGAAGUAGUAGAGAAGAGAUAUGAUGUUAGAGGAUAUGUGACUUUGGGGUUUAGGGAUUUCAUUCUCGGUAUUUAGGGUUAAGCGUUGUAAAAUCGUCGUAAAUGGUUAUCUAUACCACGUAAUUUCGUCGUAAAUGGAAAAACGCGGGCCUGGUAACUUCGUCGUAAACGCGGGCCUGGUAAAUUCGUCGUAAACCGACGUUUCGACGUAAUUUCGUCGUAAAUCGAAAAACGCGGGUCUGGUAACUUCGUCGUAAAUGAAAAAACGCGGGCCUGGUAACUUCGUCGUAAUAUUACGUCGCGUUUACGAUGAAUCAUUUUCUAUAUAUUGAGACGCCGAGACGGGGCUUCCUCGUUCAUUCCUCCCAAACUCCUUUCCUCUCCCUCUAAGGUAAACUCUCUUUCCUCCUUUUUUUUAAAGUUAGUUUAGGUGAUUAAUUAGUUAGGUAAUUAGUUUAGGUGAUUAGUUAGGUAAUUAGUUUAGGUGAUUAGUUAGAUGACGGAAUACUAUAGUUUAGGUGAUUAGUUAGGUAACGGGAUAAUUUUUUAAUUAUGUCAUCAUAAUUGAUUAAAUUUAUUUAAAUUUUUUUAGAUGACUCAUAGAAGGAAACCAGCAGCACCUACUUAUGCCCAGUUGUUUGGCGAUGGUUCCGGUACAUCUUCUUCCGGUCCAUCGUCUUCCGAUGCAGUUCCAGACUCUCAGACUUCUCAGAGAGUUUUUUCGAGUCCUCCUCUUUCACCGCAGAUGCCUCCACCUCCUCCUCCAGCGGCUGCACCUCAGCCUGUCCCAGAAGGUGCAGUUCAUCCGGAUUUGCGUGUGCCUUCAUAUGCUCCCUUCGCGAGAUAUACGGUGGAGGAUUUGCUUGCCCAGCCUGGACGGGAGGGUUUGGAUGUUCUAGACCCCGAGGAACUUAUUGGUAAGUUAUUAAUUUUUAUUACAUUAAAAUGUAAAUUAUUUUUAUUUUCUAACUGUUAAAUUGUUUUUUUUUUCAGGUUUGGGGCUAACAACCGUGUUAGCCGGAGCGUUUCGGCGACGAUUAAGGGUUGCUACGACGGGGCAUAUCCGAACUGGAGUAAGACACCAAAUCACGUUAAGAUCACGUGGUUUAAAUGUUUUGCAGUAAGAUUUUUAAAUGUAAUUAAAUUUUCACUUUUAAAUAUAUAUAUAUAUUUUUUUAAUAUUUAUUAUUAAUUGUAAUUGUUUCAAAAAUUUUAUGUUUCAGCAAAAGUGGCAUUGGUCUUUGGCAAUCACCGAGAGGGUGAAGGCGGAAUUCGUUGCAAAGGCAAAUAUCCGCCUCUGCAACACAGUCUCUGAUUGGAAGGACAAGUGGGAGAUCUACGGGUAUGAGGGAAAGCCCACUGAGCUCACGACAGAUAUGUGGGAUGGCCUCAUCGCCUAUUGGGAGCACCCCUCUUCGAUCAAAAAGGCCAAUUCGUGCUCGGCUUCUUGAAGGACCAAGGAUAAAGAUGGUCAUUUGCCCAUGCUUCUCAGAACCGGACAAAAAUCUCAUGCAGGAGUUCGUCUAGAAGCUGUAAGUUUUGUUUUAAAUAUAUAUUUUAAAAUAUUCAAUUAAUAUAAUUUAUAAUAUUUAAUUUUUUAUUUUUUUGUAGUUCGAGAAGACGGGAGUCUUACCAUCUCUGUCUGACCUAUUCAAGAUGACUCACGCCACAUCCGACGGAGUUUUUGUGGAUCAUGCAUCAGAGAAACUCUUCCACACAGUGGCUGGUCGGAUUGAAGAACGGGAGACGUAACUAACCCAGGAGUCUCCCGAUGGAUUACCAGUCACAUUGUCCACCGAAGAGGUCGACAGAAUCUUCCAAGAGGUACAACUUAAAAUUUUUGUUUACAUUAUUUUAAAUAUUUUAGCAUAAUUAACUAUAUUAAUAUAUGUUUUGAUUUUAUAGGUGGCUCCUAAAAAUAAGGGACGGAUAGUCGGUAUAGGCUCUGUUAACGAAGUUGCAAGGGCAACUUUGUCAUACACUUCGAGGCGGGAUGAAGAGACUGCUCAGAUGAAGGCUCGAAUGAUAGCCAGCAGGUUCGUUUAGACUCUCUUGAGGAUUUGCUAGACGUGAUGGCCGUGGGAAACCCGGUUAUGCAGAGAAUGUUGAGUGAGAGACGAGCCGCUCUUGGAAUGCCACCACGAGAUCCCCAAGAGUCCGAUCCAACCCGUCAACAGCCGAGCAACCCCACCAACUACUUCGACAAUAUGUAGUUUUUUUUUCUGUUUGUAUUAUGAAUUUAAAUAUUAUUGUAUGACUUUUUAAAAAUAUGUUUUCCAAUUUCAUAUUUUGUUUUAAAAUUUAAAUUAUUUUAAAUUCUGAAUAUUAAAUGUAAAUUAAAAUCUAUUAUAUACUAAUUAAUAAUAAUAUAAUAAGAAACGAUGUAAACUCCUCGUAAACAUUACAUGAAGUUUACAUCGAAUGUUUACGAGUGAUUAACAUCGAAAUAUUUACGAGGAUUUUACAUCGAAAUGUUUACGAGUGAUUUACAACGAAAGUAUUUACGUGUGCUUUACAUCGAAACAAUUACGUGGGCUUUACGACGAAGUCUUACGUGGCGUUUACGACGAAUCCUUUCCCUGCGCUUUACGAGGAAUAUAUUUCGUCGUAAAUGUAACGAGUCGUUUACGACGAAACCUCCGUUACGACGGACGUUUAACAACGAAACGUCUUUCGACGUUAAUUCGUCGUAACACCCCGUUUACGACGAAUACUGCCUUAGUAAAAAAUAUGUUUUUUUGUAGUGAACGAUGAGUGAUCUAAGUUAAGAAAUAAAAGAGAAGCUAUAUCUGGUUCUAAUCAGGAACAAUACAUAAAAUAACAAUAGCUUCCAAAUAACACCAUAUCCAGUGAACUAGUUUCCAAAUAACCCCAUAUCCAGUGAAGACCCGGCCUUGACUCCAGAUCCCCAUUGAAGCAGUGCCGACAAGUUUCAAUGGUUUUUGCUCUUGGUUUCAAUUGCAGUUGAGUGUUUUGUUGUCACUGGACGACCUUACGACGAUGUGAAGUUAACCGUAUUUCGGGUUUUCGGAAGCGACAAGUGGCGAGGAGAUUGGUGGCUUUAGGUGGUCUACGGGCUUCAGCUUUUCCUCGGUGGCACUUCUUAAAUAAUCAUAUCAUAUCCCAGUGUCGCUGGUGGUCAUUUGAUCACUUAGGUAAUGCUGCUUCUCUAAUAUUUUUUGUAGGUAUAAAGAGCUUAUUCUAGUUUGGAUGAUACGAGUUUCUCGGGCCGUAUUGUUGGAUCUCAGGUUGAGGUGAUGGAGGUCUCAAACCGUCUCUCUUGGUAAGUUUGGAAUUUAAUGGAAGCUGCGGAUGCGCCGGUGAAGAGAAAGGGGAGAUAAUCCGGAGCCAGCAGCAACGACGAGUGUCACAUCUGAAGUUAUGGUAAGAGACUCUGCUCUGUAUGUGUAUCCUCUUUUCGUGUUGGGUCAGGAGAAGCGAAAUAACUCGUUUGUGGGUAAGAUCUCGCAUUAGAAAUAUGUAAAGGACUUGAUAUACAAGGGACUUGUGCCAUUCAUUCAAUUAGUUUUAAGUUGAAAGUCUAGAAAAUUUGUUAUGGUAUCAGAGCGGACCCAUACCUUCGUCCACUAAUCCGGCCCGGACAGUGGCCAAUCAUUCUACGAAUUGAUGGCCCAAAAAAGGUUCAAUUCCUUCAAAAUUGCUAGAAAAAUAAAAGCAUUGUUUCGAAUGGGUAUGAUAUAUCCUGCGAGAUUAAUUGUUAUACACAUCAUUAUCUCGAGAAAAUAUGUUGGAGGGAAGAUCCUACAUUAAAAAUAUGUAAGAGACUUAGGUAAUAUAUAAAUGACUUUGGUUUUAAGUUGUAAGCCUAUGAAACUUAUUAGAAUCGCGUUGAUAUCAUUUGAAUCAUUGUUGUAUUUGCAUGCUUAUGCUUUUUCAAGAAAAUUAAAAAUAUUAUAAAAUAUUUUUUAAAAAGUUUUCUUCUUAUCUUUAAAGAAUGUUAUUUUAUUUUAAAAAUUUAAAUAAUAUUUUCUACGUAUAUAGAACUGAUAGUUGUUAAUUUUAACUUAGUUAAGUUUCCACUUUUUUUUAAUCAUGUCGUCAAAUCUUUGUAAUGAAUUGUGUUUCCUUUGAAAGCAAAAACUAAAGUUGCCUGUAAUUUUUCUCUUUGUUGUUAAUCAAUUUAAAAAUUCAACAAAAAAAAAAAAUCUUUGUAAUGCAAAUUAUUUAAAACUUAUCAAGUUUGUAAACUAAAAUUGUGUAUUUUUGAAAUUAAACAAAUAUUUAGAACCUCUAAAUUUAAAAGGAUUUAACCAAGUUUGUGAUGUACUCGUAUAUCUAUAUCAAACCUGAAAAAUUUCAAACCGAAUCCGAACCAAAAUUUACAAAUAUCCUAACGAGAAUAAAUUUCAUACCUCCAAAAGAAUUGAAAUCCGAUUAAACCUAACUCGAAUCCGACUGGACAUCCAAAUGUCCAUGUAAAAACGUUGUGAAGUUCACUUUCCCAUAAGCAUAUGCAUAUAGCCAUAUUUUACUCGGAAUUUAUUAAGGCUAAACCCUCUGAGACUUCAUCAAACGACACAGUUUCACGAAGCAAUGACAUAAACAAUCAAAACGACAUCAGCUGAUUCUGUCGUAAACCUUUCUCUUCACUUCCCUCAUCAGGAAUGAUGCACUUCGUCUUCCCUGUAACUUUGUUCAAAACGUUUUUCAAAAAUUUUAGUAUAAAAUUAUUUCCUUACACUUGAACUAUAGUUCAGCCACUGUAUUCUCGGAGUAGACAUAAGGUGUUCGAUAAAAUGUCUGAGUGAGUUUUCAGAUACUCUUUCCUCCAAAGUAUCCUCUACUGACUUUGAUGUUCUCUGUUGCAGACUUACUUGCGGUGUUACUCAUCCCCAGAAAGCUAUGGAGAAUGCAAAUUUUAAGCAUUUUUUAACACUGUUAACUUAAGACAGGGUAAAAAAAAAGGAAACUUUUGCAAACCAAGUUGCUCUAGUUCAAUGGGUUUUGCUCGAGCAAGAGUAUCGAUACUCACUCUGUAUGUACCGUUGUUGCAGCUGCUUAUAGUACUCAGGUCAUUUUAUUUUUCUUUGUUGUAAUUUUAGCAUGUAAGAAGAGUCAACCACAAACUUGGUAGUUAUCACUUAUGACCGUCAUGCUACCGUCUUCAUUGCAAAGAAUUCAAAUUUGGCUCCCACUAGCGUAGACUUGGACUCUUGAUUAUUAUCUAGACUUUGACCUGUAUUAUUAAUUUACAUUGCAUCUUCAGAACCACUUGUGAGAUGAUAUCCAUUGCUAAAUUUUUCCACUUUGCAAGUUUCAUGCUCUUGAAACUAUGUGCACCAUCCUCGCUUUUUUAACAUUAUCUCUCUUGUUAGGAGAAUCAUGCUGUCAGACGGAUACUCUGCUUCAGGGGCAGUUCUUGAAAGAUGGGCAAGAGCUGGUUUCAGCUUUCAAUAUCUUCAAGCUCAAGUUCUUCAACUUCAAGAACUCCAGAAAAUUGUAUCUUGGUGUUUGGUACAACAAUUUGUAUCUGAAUGAUGUCCAGGACAGACCCGUCUGGAUAGCUAACCGUGACAAUCCGAUUCCUAGACGCCCUGGAAGCCUCAUGAUUGACUCUCUUGGCAGACUGAAGAUUUUAAGAGGAGGAGCAUCAAGCCUACUGCUUAACCUGAGUUCUACUGAAAGCACUGGAAACACUACCCUCAAGCUGUUGGAUUCCGGAAAUCUCCAGCUCACGGAGAUGGGUCCUGGUGGAUCCACGAGGGUUCUGUGGCAGAGCUUUGAUUAUCCGACUGAUACUCUUCUCCCUGGGAUGAAACUCGGUUUCAACGUCAAGACCAAGAAGAGAUGGGAGCUGAGAUCAGGGCUAAGUGAUACUUUACCAGCUUCUGGAUCUUUUGUAUUUGGGAUGGAUGCCAAUAUAUCAAACUUAUUGACCAUCUUGUGGCGUGGAAAAAGGUAUUGGGCAAGCGGCCUCUGGUUCAAAGGUCGUUUCUCCUUGGAGGCAUUCAACAACUACGAAUCGGUCUUCUCUUUUAACUCAACAGAGAGUGAACGCAACUUCAUGUUUUCAGUUGAUCGCCGCUAUCCUGAAACAGUGUUUCCCACCAUAACGAUAGACCAACAUGGUUUUUUGCGUAUAAACAGGCUUGACAGAGAGCUAGCACAUGUCCGUUGCUCUCCUUUCACUUUGACUAAAGAGGUCAGUUCCAGGGAUCGGUAUAGGCAAGAUUACAGCGGUCGGUAUGAGAAAGAGUACAGGGAUUGGUAUGAGAAAGAGAUCAGAGAUGGGUAUACGGAUCAGUAUGAGAGAGAGUACAGUGAUCAGUAUGGGGGAAAAUCCAGAGGUUGGUAUGAAAAAAAUUCCAGCGAUUGUUAUGGGAACAAAUCCAGGGAUUGUUUGCAGGCUGGAUGCACAGUUCCUGAUAUGGCACAUGGGUUCCUGAACUGCAAUCCCUUUCGCUCUACCUAUUUCAAAAAGGCAGGACCAGCUUUACUAGGCAGUGGAUCUGUGCUUAAUGAGACUGGUGGAAGACUUAGUUCAGCUGAUUGCCAUGUUAUAUGUCUGCAGAACUGUUCUUGUGUUGCCUAUGCCUCAACCAAUGUGGAUGGUACGGGCUGCGAGAUAUGGACUGAUCCCUGCAAGCUGUGGUAUACUGAUCCUACCAACAACAGGUCGUCUUCUUCUCCUACUUCCAGAAGUAUAUAUAUUCGUGAACAAGGUCCGACAUGUAUGGAAAGUGAUUCGGGAAAUAAUUAUCCGGGCUUUGGGGGAGACAGAGACAAUGGAAAUCCAGUAGUUUGGCUAAUUGUUGGAGCAUCGCUCUUUCUAACCAUACUUGUGAUUGGCUUCAUCAUCUAUAAGUAUAAAGUAAAAGGUAAAACAAAGUGUUAUCAGAAUCACAUUCUUCUCUAUGGUGUUCUUACUAACAAGUUCACUUCUUUUGUUCUGUGUGUGAUGAAUUCCAGUAACUAAUAUAUUCCGCAAAACAUUCUACUUUUUACGUGGGAAAAUCAUUCAACUAAGCAAGGCCGCUUUUUACUUUUCACGGGAGAAAAUCAUUCAACCAAGUAAGGCGGCGUUUAGCUAUCUAUGGAGGAAAAUCAUUCAACCAAGUAUGCCUCUACUGAAUAAUUUUUUUUGUAUAAGGUUAAUUGUCGUUAUGGAAAAUUAAGAAUAAUGUUUGUUAUAUUAUUAUAGUGAAUGGUUUCAUUGGGAGGAGGCUUCUAACACUGAGGUAUGGGUCAGCAGUAGAUCGCGAAUUGUUACUGCGUGAACUGGGAAUUGAUAGGAGAGGCAGGCACAGGAGAAGUGCAAGGAAGAAUAAUAAUGAACUUAAUAUUUUUAGCUUUGAGAGUGUAGCCUUGGCAACAGAUUACUUCUCUGAUGAGAACUUGCUCGGUGAAGGAGGUUUUGGUCCGGUGUAUAAGGGGAUGUUGAUAAGUGGGGAAGAAGUGGCGAUCAAGAGACUAUCAAUGGCAUCAGGGCAAGGACUGGUGGAGUUCAAGAACGAGGCCAUGCUUAUUGCAAAACUUCAACACACGAAUCUCGUUCAGUUGCUAGGAUGUUGCAUUGAGAAGGAUGAGAAAAUGUUGAUUUAUGAAUACAUGCCCAACAAGGGCCUUGAUUACUUCCUCUUUGGUGAGCUUUCUUUUUUAAAAAAUUCCAAGAAUCUAUGUUUGGAAGAAACUGAUUUCUGAAAUGCCAAAUCUAUUUUGUGCAGAUCCAUUGAGGAAAAAUGUUUUAGAUUGGAGGCUGCGGUUCAGGAUCAUGGAAGGGAUCAUUCAAGGGCUUUUGUACCUUCACAAGUACUCGAGAUUGAAAGUAAUACACAGAGACAUCAAAGCCAGUAACAUUUUGCUGGAUGAGGAUAUGAAUCCGAAGAUAUCGGAUUUUGGGAUGGCUCGGAUAUUUGGAGCCCAAGAAUCCAAAGCCAACACUAGAAGAGUUGCUGGAACAUUGUAAGUUCUCUCAAGAGUGACCAGAAGAAACAAAGAGAGGGUUCCUUUGAUCAGGUUUUGAUAAUAAUUUCUUGUGUUUGAUAUAUGUACAGUGGCUAUAUGUGUCCUGAGUACUUCAGAGAAGGACUAUUCUCGGCUAAGUCAGAUGUGUUCAGCUUCGGGGUUCUGAUGCUUGAAAUCAUUUGUGGAAGGAAGAACAAUAGCUUCCACCGUGACUCAGAAGGACCUCUCAAUCUCAUAGUUCAUGUAAAAGCCAAAUCUCUUCUUUCAUUUGUUAGCAUUUGACGUGUUUACUUAGUCUUUGGAUUGUUUAAACUCUGUUUUCAGGUGUGGAAUCUGUUUAAAGAGAACCGAGUUGGCGAGGUGAUAGAUCCUUCUUUGGGAGAUUCUGCACUUGAGAACCCUCAAGUGUUGAGAUGCUUUCAAGUUGCUCUCUUGUGUGUACAAGAAAAGCCAGAAGACAGACCAAGUAUGUUAGAUGUUGUGUCCAUGAUAUACGGCGACGGAAACAAUGCUCUUUCUUUGCCUAAAGAGCCAGCUUUCUAUGAUGGUCCCCGGAGAAGCUCGCCAGAUACAGAGGUUGGGCAACCGGAGUCGGAAAAUGCAUCAGUAAACAGAGUUUCCAUCACGGUGAUGGAAGCAAGGUGAAACUAGAGUUACCAUCAUUGGUGUUGUAAUAAUUUAUUUAAUCUCAGUUAAUGUUUGUAAGCUUAGCUUGCAUCUUUUCUAUGCACAACGGUAAAAAAUUGUAUUGAGCUUUUUGGUUUUUUAACCAAACGAAAGAUGUUCAAACUAUAAACUCUCUUCAUGGGGAGGGUUUUUGAUGACUGUCAUAUGGUUUGAAGAGAUGGAGAUUUGGAUCACGACCAAGAUUGAGCCCAAUGUUGUGUUUUGGACCAAGUUCUUGAUAUGGAACCACAACCACGCAGAGUUUCGGUUCUAUAGUGGUGAGAGAUAAAAAUGUGUGUGAAACCAAUCACAAACACAUCUUACUUCAUUUGAUAAAAUGGUUGAAGACAAAUGUUAAGAGAUGCAAUGUUAAAGAUAAAACCAGAACAAAUAACCCCUAAAUUCUAUCCACUUGAAUAGUGGUGCUAUAUUUUUAAUACUUAUUGCAAAGUUGAUCAUUUGGAAAAUUGACCCUAAAGAAAAUUGUGAUUAGGUGGUAGGUAUAAUAUAAUAAUAAUAAAAAGAUAAAUUAAACUGUCAUAUUUAACAUUUAGCCUGACAAUCAAUCAAGUAUCCAGUUAUUUACAUCAUUGCUGAAUAAUAUAUAUUCUAAUUGUUCACCUGCUGCAUGCAUGUACAUGUUAGAUGCAUUAUACAAGACAAUAGGAAGCUAACAUGCAUUAUACAAGACAAUAGGAAGAACAAAUUAGAUGACUAAGAAACAGAGUAGUUAGGCGUCUUAACGACGAGAAAGUUGACAAGCCUAACGGGUUAACAAAGUUAAAUUACAAAAUUGUGUUUGGUUAUUAUGUGAAUUGGUUACAAGUUACUUAUUGCGAUAAAUACUGAGUUACAAUAUCAGGCAUAAUGUUAUAAGUACACAUACAUGUUCAUGCAGUUUGGAGAAGAUGAUAUCGGUGAAGAUGAUGCUAUCACAGCUCAUAAAAGAAUUUGAUGGGGAAAGAUGAUCUACCAAUAAAGUCCAUCAAGUGAUUUGAUUGGAGAAGAUGAUCUACUGAGGAUAUAUUCACCGAGUAAUGGAGACACCACCAAACUUUGUUAAUUAAGAAUAUUUUUUACGUAAUAGACAUAAAGUGAAUGUCACCUACAUUAUUAUUUGAUACCAAAGAUUUUAGCAAGAUAUAAAGUUUUAUUGAUGUUGCAUUUGUCAAAACUAAUUACUUUGAUAGUAAAGAGGACCAAAUUCACCGGAAGACAUAUACUUCAUACAUAAUUUAUCAAAAAUUUCUUAGUUUAACUAAAUCUCUUGAUAGAAUAUGUUCAAUCCUAGUACAAAUUUUUUUUUUUUUAAAAACACAAGUUAAUUAAAAAAAUUGUUACAAAUAAGAAAUAAUUUAAAAUUGAAAGACAAGUAUUUUUUCAAAAUAUAGUUGGCAACCAUAGUUUUUCCAUUGUUUGAUUUAUGUGCUAUUCAAAGAUAUUAAUACCAUCAACUCUAGAUCAGAUAAAUGACCCAAAAAUUAUAGCAUCAAUUUGUAUCAAAAUUUUGUAUAUUGUUUUUCCAAAUUUAACAUUUGAUUAUUUCCACCAAAAUGAACAACAUCGAAAGAUAACAUUGAUUCUUUUUCUGAUAUCGUUAAGUGUGGAUGUUAUUGAUCCAUCAUAAUCAACAAUAUGUUUUCUGCUGUGAUGUGAACAUCUUGAGCAUGAAGAUAUAGCAUCCAUUUUAGGAUCUCAAAAAGGAAGAAGCAUGCAAAGAUUUCCUAGCAGUCGUUGUAAGGGAUCCAUAUGGCACAAACUCACAAUGUAUUAUGAAAGAGGAAGACAUCGUGAGAAGAUUUGGAAACAUUUAUGGUGUUUUGUUAGAGUGUCAGAAUUUUCCUUACGCUUGUGCAUGUUGAUAGAAACCAUUGACUUGAUAUGGUUGCAAUAAACUUUGUAUAUGAUGGACCCACAAGAUCCGAAUCCAAUCUUGCUUUUGAGGUCAUAAGCUUUGAUGUCCUAAGGAAACUGUAAAGUGUUCUUGUCUGGACUUUCACUUGCAUGUGUUAAUAAUAUUAGAAACACAGUAAAUUGUCACAUUUGGAAUGUUAACUAGCAUGAGAUACAUAUUGAUCAUUUGCAAAAAAAAUCAAAUCAAGCUUACCACCAAUAUAUUCUCAACUGCUUUCUAGAUUAUGUCUAUUUUGGCCUUUGAUAGACCAUGCACACUAGUGAGGGCUUGGUAUAGAUUCACUAUAAAGUGAUAAAACCAAUGAAUGACUAGUAAACAAGUUUGGUAUUUACAUAAUUGGUAAGCAUCAUCAAGCCACUACAUAAAUGAUCCCCAUCUUGUAGUUUCUUCACAUCUCCACCGUCUAUUAUACCUCGAGCAGUCCCCAGCACAAGGAUAUCAAAGUUAAAAGAUGCCAGAUCAAUAUGGAUCUUAUACACUGGAAUUUUCACCAACAACACCAAAUCAGCCAUUCACAAAAUUUAUGUAAACAAGGCACUAGAGGAACGAUUCACCAUAAUGAAGUUCACUGCAGUUUCAAAAUCUCAGAGGUUUGCACAGAGAUCCUAGCGAUAAUCUAUGCUGAAUAAACCAUUGGAGGUAUAGUCGACAAAGGAAAUAGAUAACAGGAAUAUAUCCAUUCCUAAACAGAAACAUGAACACUUAGACGAAAUCUGAAGAAGCGAGCAGCUAUCGAAGAUCCUAGAAGCAGCAUAAGAUCCUAGAACACUUAUUUCCAUCUUAAGCUUGUUAAUUGCUUCAAAUACGCCAUCGAUCAAAAUCACACGAUUCCAGGUUUAGAGUUUGUUGGAUAGAAAUCCCACAUCAAAAGUUUCAAUCAGACAUGAGUAAUAUAUAAAGGACAUGAACCACUGCAUUUGCCGUCGAUUAGUUUUAAGUUGGAAGCUUUGGAAAGGUAAUAUGAUAUCAGAGCGGAUCCACACCCUCAUCCAUUAAUCCGGUUUGGAAAAUGGUUCAAAUAUUUCUUUAAAGACGUUUAAGACUAUAAAACUUAUUAAAAAAAUAGAUAUAAAGCUUAUUAGACGUAUGCAUGUUAUUCAUUCGUGUGGAAAAUUGCUUAGCAAGAGAUUUUAAUUUUAGUUUACAUUGGAAAUUUACUAAUUUAAAUAGUAUAUAGAAACGUAGAAAGGAAGGAUGGAUAUGCAUCAUGAUACAUGUUACACAAUUUACAAUAUAUGACAUUACAACAUAUCGUACGUCACUCAAAUUUACAACACAUCGCACGCCACCCAAAUUUAGAGAACGCUAAGAUAAAUCAUUUAGUUACAAACCCUUAAAUCAUCACCACACCAAUUUGAUCAUAAACCCGUUAGUGCUAACACCAAAGCUGUCAUGAUUGCAAUAAACACUCUCCCUAAUAUUUCAUUUCCUGUAAAACAGACAAAGAAAAAACACGUGUGUUUUAGUUGUUUGAUUCUUGAUCAUUAGAUUGUAACUUUGUAAGUACAUACAUUACGGUGGACCAAAAUUCUGCUAUUUGGAUACUAAAGCCGAAACAUACGUUGACGUUUUUAUAUUCUUAACAAUUAGACUAAGGUGAACCGACAAUUUCAAGUCAACCUUUUUAAUUCGGUCAAUGUGGCUGGACCAUACAAUUUUUUUUAUUUUAUGCAACAAACGCUCUCCCUAAUAUUUCGUUCCUAACUUAUCAAUGGAAGUGGGGGCAUGGAAGGAUAGCAUGGGAAAGAUCUAACUCAACUCAUGGGAACGCAAAACUCAAGAAGGCGCGAGUCAGCACUGAACUAGAGACGCUAAGGUAGGUAAUGGAGAGCAUGUUUCAAUAUUCGAUCUGCCAGGGCUUUGGGACAGAUUGCAAGGACCCGAUUUCAAUGAUUAAAGAUCUACAGGUUUGGCCAAACUUCUCAACAGAGCUGGAGGUUAUUCAAAUGCUUCAGAUAUGCUUUUCGGAUUUCAAGAUCUCCUACAUUCCUAAAGCGCAAAAUGAUAUUGCUGCUUCGUUAGCUAGGACUGCUCGAUCAUUGUUUUUAUUGGUUGUUCUAUUAAGGUCUGGUUACCAGAUCACCUCAAGUUUGAGUAAUAGAAUAGUCAUUUGUUACCGAAAAAAAAACCUGAAGACUAGAACCGGUCCAUGCUUACAUUCUAUACAAUAUCACCUAACCAUAGUGAGAGGCAAGGACUAACCGGAACGUAUCACGUCAUCAGACAAUUCCAAUUGGUUUUUCAAAACUAAAAUGAUAAAAUGAUGCUAAAUGAUAUAAUCAUAUUUCGGACAAGGACAGUCUUUGUAUCAGACCAUCGAGAUUAAAUCCGCAUAAUGCAUUUAAAUUAAGAAAACUAUAUACUAACCAUUUAUAACGCGGAGACUCUGCGAAGCGGAGAUCUUAUAGUUGACAAGACAUUUAAAAUAGUAUAUCUGAGCAAAUUCCAAACUAGCUAAGCCGCAGUAGUCAUAUAAAAAUGGGCUGCAAGUCUCAAGCAUGCGGUGCAGUUUCGUGGAUCAAGAUCAGGACUACACUGGAAGAUUGCCUUUAAAUCAUACGAACUUUCCACUUGAGUCACAUGUUCUUGAUCCUCCACAAAAUAUGGAAUCGGUGAUGAGAAGGAGGCUCUGGGGAUAAGCUCGUUUAUUUUCCCACUAAGUGUUUGAUUGGAAACUUUAGGAUAACCCGAAGAACUGAACUCAGAGAAUCUACCAAAGACAGGUUCAUCUUCGACGAGUGUGAAGAAAGAAAAGUUUUAGUACCGAACCAAACAUUCGUUAUAGAAUACGAACGUUCCUUUAUAAGAGUUUCAAGUUUCAUGUUGAAUAAUGCCUUGAAUCUGUUGGACCUUAGUCUUUUGAGGCCCACUAGUGCUAGGGUUUUCCGGGACACAACUAUAUAUAUUUUGUGCCUCCUCUAAACCUAGUUAGCAGCCGUAGAGAAACUAGAUCUGAUCUUCUUGUAGACAGAUCUCUGUAAUUCUUCCAUCAAUAAAAUUUCUCUUUGCCCAUGGAUGAAGCCGUUAGGGGUGAACCACGUUAAAUCUCUGUAUCUUUCUUUAUUGUUUAUCCAUCUGUUAAUCUAUAUCUUCUCACAUCCGUCACAACAAACUGGUAUCAGAGCUUCGGGUUGAAUCUGGUGAGAAGAUGUCUGGGAUGAAUAUGAAGAUCGACAAGUUUACUGGAAGGAACAGUUUCAGUCUCUGGCAAAUCAAGAUGAAGGCAAUGCUGAAGCAACAAGGUCUUUGGGCACCAUUUUCAGGGAAGAAGGUUGAACCUGUUACAACUGAGAUGGAGGUUACUGAAGAGAAGGCGUAUUCAACAAUUUUGUUGUGUCUGGCAGAUGAGAUCAUCAUCGAAGUUUCCGGUGUUGAUGCUGCAGCUGAUUUGUGGUCGAAGUUAGAGAGUCUAUACAUGACGAAGUCUCUGACUAAGAAGCUACUUCUGAAACAACGUCUUUUCGCUCUGAGGAUGCAAGAAAGUACACAACUCCAAGAUCAUCUUGACAGUCUAAAUUCCAUCUUGUUGGAUCUGAGGAAUAUUGAUGUUAAGGUGGAAGAUGAGGAUGCGGCACUGAUUUUGUUUGUAUCACUACCAAACUCCUAUGAGAACUUUGUUCAGUCAUUCAUAGGGAGUAAGGAUAUAAUGAGUUUGGAGGAAGUCAGGUCAGCACUUCAUAGUAGGGAGUUGCGACACAAGGCAUCUGGUUCUGGUACAGACGACCACGCUUCUGGGUUGUUUGUAGGUGGUGGAAAGAACUUUGGAAAAGGCAAGAAGUCGAAAGACAAAAGGUUGUUUUCAAAGGGUCCUAAACCAACUGAUAUUUGCAAUUACUGCAAAGAGAAAGGACAUUGGAAAUCUGAUUGUCCUAAGAAGAAGAAGCAGACUGAGGCUAAAUCUGAUGAAGAUAUUGCGCUGGUUGCUCAUGGAAAAACAAAUCCUAGAGAUGUGUGGGUCCUGGACACAGGCGCAUCUUAUCAGAUUCUGUCGAAGCAAGAUCUUCUUUGUGGUCAUAAGACCAAGAGCCUUGAGUUCUGUGAGCACUGUGUGUUUGGGAAGCUGCACAGAAAGAAGUUUCCUAAGGUUGUUCAUAAAACAAAAGGCACGCUGGAUUACAUCCAUUCAGAUUGUUGGGGUCCCUCCAAGGUGGAGUCGCUGAAGGGUCACAGGUAUUUUGUGUCCAUGAUUGAUGACUAUUCGAGGAAGACUUGGAUAACAUUCAUGAAGCACAAAAGUGAAGCUUUCAACAGCUUCAAGGAGUGGAAGAUACUGGUGGAGAAUCAAACUAAGAAGAAGAUUAAGAGGCUUCGUACUGAUAAUGGUCUGGAAUUCUGUUCAACAGACUUCAAUUAGUUUUGUAAGGAUGCAGGGAUUGCUAGGCAUCAUACAAUCAGGUAUACACCAUAGCAGAAUGGUGUAGCAGAGAGAAUGAACCAGACAUUACUGGAGAGAGCGAGGUGCAUGCUUUCUAAUGCUGGUUUAGAGAAGAGGUUUUGGGUUGAGGCAGUGAACACGACUUGUUAUUUGAUCAAUCUUGGACCGCAUACAGGGAUCGAGUGUCGAAUACCUAAUGAGUUGCACGGUUUACUAUCAUGUUAAUGAAGGAAAGCUGGAACCAAGAGCGAAGAAGGGAGUGUUUAUGGGCUAUGGAGAUGGUGUAAAGGGAUACAGAGUUUGGUCUCCAUCUGAGAAACAGGUUGUUAUGAGCAGGAACGUUGUGUUUGAUGAGAGUUCUAUGUUCAAAGUUUCAGCUGAGUCCAUUUCAGAAGCAGAACAGGAGGAUGUUGACAAGCAGGUGGAGCUGCAGGAAGUGCAGUCAGACUACCCAGGAUCAACCGAUCCAGUGUCAGGGAGCGAUCGAUCUACGCCAGACACAGGAUUGGGCGAUGGCAGAGAUCUUCGAUCGAUGUCCGACAACACGAGAUCGAUCGAUCCUCAGGAAGAGAGCGAGCGAUCAAUGUCUGAUAAGUAGCCUCAAUCUUCCAAUUCUGGAAAUCAACGUAUUGGGUCUGAAAAACGCAGUAUUGCUAAAGACAGACCAAGGAGAGUUGAUGUUAGGCCACCAGAGAGAUAUCGGUUUGAAGAUAUGGUGGAUUAUGCACUACAGGUUGCAGAGGAAGUGGACACUUACGAGCCGUCUACUUACAGAGAAGCCAUUUCAAGUUAUGCAUCUGAGAAAUGGUUUGCUUCAAUGGGAGAUGAGAUGGUAUCUCAUGAAAAGAAUCACACAUGGGAUCUGGUCACACUACCACCUGGGAGAAAAGUUGUGAUUUGCAAGUGGAUUUAUAAGCUAAAAAAAGGUCAGUCACCAGAAGAGGGAGUCAAGUAUAAAUCUCGAGUUGUUGCUACAGGUUUCAGUCAAAGAGAAGGCGUGGACUACAAUGAGAUAUUCUCACCCGUGGUCAGACACACCUCUAUCAGAGUGCUAUUGGCGAUAGUAGCACGUCAGGAUCUGGAGUUGGAGCAACUUGAUGUGAAGACUGCUUUUCUUCAUGGAGAGCUUGAGGAGGAGAUCUAUAUGACUCAGCCUGAGGGUUUUCUAUUUCCUGGUAAAGAAGAUCAUGUGUGCAAGUUGAGGAAGUCGCUGUAUGGACUUAAGCAGUCUCCUAGACAGUGGUACAAGAGGUUUGACAGCUAUAUGGUCAAGUUGGGCUACGACAGGAGUCCUUAUAACUGUUGUGUCUACAUGAGCAAGGUGGAGGAUGAGUCGUAUAUCUACCUGGUGCUGUAUGUAGACGACAUGCUGAUAGCUGCCAAGAAGAAGUGUUAUGUUCAGAAGCUGAAAGAACUACUGAGUCCUGAGUUUGAGAUGAAAGAUUUGGGUGCUGCGAGGAAGAUUCUAGGAAUGGAGAUCUUCAGGGAUAGGACGAAGAAGAAGCUGUUCUUGUCACAAAAGGCCUACAUUAAAAAGGUCUUGAUAAGAUUCGGGAUGCUUAAUGUUAAGCCUAUCGAUACUCCAUGUGCUGCAAAUUUUCAUCCUACCAUGAGUGAUGAAAUGUCUGAAGGGGAAAUCGAUUAUAUGUCACGUGUUCCUUAUGCUAGUGCUGUAGGAAGUUUGAUGUAUGCUAUGGUUUGUAUAAGACCAGAUCUUGCACACGCAGUCAGUGUUGUGAGUAGGUUCAUGGUUCAGCCGCGAAAGGAGCACUGGAUCGCUGUGAAGAGGAUUUUCCGGUACCUUAAGGGUACAUCUGAUAUUGGUCUUGUCUAUGGAGACAAGGAUCCGAGACUGGUUACUGGGUAUUCUGAUUCGGAUUAUGCAGGAGAUGUGGACAGCAAGAGAUCUAUGACUGGUUACGUAUUUACUUUGGGUGGUUCUGUUGUGAGCUGGAAGGCGACUUUGCAGUCGACAGUGACUUUGUCUACAACUGAGGCAGAGUAUAUGGCAUUGACAGAAGCUGCUAAGGAGGCAAUAUGGUUGAGAGGAUUGGUCAGUGAUCUUGGUCUUCAUCAUGAUCAGGCUACUGUGUUCUGUGAUAGCUUAAAUGCUAUCUGCUUAGCCAAGGAUCAGGUUCAUCAUGAGAGAACCAAGCAUAUCGAUGUAAGAUACCAUUUUCUGAGAGAUGAGAAGAGGAUUGAAGUGAAGAAGGUAGGAACAGCUGAUAAUCCUGCGGAUAUGUUCACUAAGCCGGUUCCUCAUAGCAAGUUCAAGCAUUGUCUUGAUUUGCUAAACAUCUCAAGCUGUUAAAUCUGGCCCUGAUGGGCGUUUGGCCCUGAGGGGCAUCUGGCUCGAAGAGAGCAUCUGGCCCAAGUGAGGGCAUCUGGCUCUGAUGAGCAUCUGGUCCGACGGGAUAUCUGACAUCUGAGUUCGACGGAACAUCUGAGCAAAGAGAGAGUCCGGUACAUCUGUAUUCUGAGUACGAAGAAGUGCAUUCUGGUACAUCUGAUUAUGCAUGAUUCAAGUCAAGGUGGAGAUUUGUUGAAUAAUGCCUUGAAUCUGUUGGGCUUUAGUCUUUUGAGGCCCACUAGUGCUAGGGUUUUCCGGGACACAACUAUAUAUAUUUUGUGUCUCCUCUAAACCUAGUUAGCAGCCGUAGAGAAACUAGAUCUGAUCUUCUUGUAGACAGAUCUCUAUAAUUCCUCCAUCAAUAAAAUCUCUCUUUGCCCGUGGACGAAGCCGUUAGAGGUGAACCACGUUAAAUCGCUGUGUCUUUCUUUAUUGUUUAUCCAUCUGUUAAUCUAUAUCUUCUCACAUCCAUCACAACAUUUCAGACAUGCUUAACGUUGCCGAAUGGACACAGUUUAAACAGGAUGCUCUACUGAUGUCUCCUCAGAGGAACAUGCCAUAGACUGUGUUUGGGCUAAGACCGGCCGUAGCGUUAGCAUAGCUUCCGUGGGCGGAACGGUCGCGAAGGGUGGAGAGGACAGUUUCUAUGUUUGAUUGAUAAGAGCUAGAUUUAUUGAAAUUGUCGGGUACCUGGUCGCAACCAGAGCUCAUUUGUGCAGAUUGGGAUAUGGUUUGAAGAGAGAAUAAGAAGAAGCAAAACAGGACAAUAGCAAAAUGUGUAAUGAUUCUUGUCAUUUUUCUUGAUUAAUUUGACUUACGAGAAAGAACAAAACAGAACACCAAGAGUUAUAAAAGCAAAGAACAAAACAGCACAUAUAGAUGUUUUUUAACAAUUCAAUCAUAUCAGUAAUGUCCACAUAAACAUGGUAGACCAACUCAAAAGGAAAAUCAAUAUAGUAAUUAUGAUUUUAGUUGAAUUCCAUAUUCUUGUAUAAUAUAAUGUUUAGUUAACUUUGCAGGUAACAAGUUCUUCAACGUUGACCUUUAUUUUGUGAAAGAUCUGAAGCAUAACAUAUUACUUGUAUAGUGUGGUAUACCAAUUCAGAGGGAGAAUGAAUAUGACUUUCUAUUAAUAUUAAUCAGUUGAGUAGGUCUUAUUUGCUGUUGUUAAUGUAAAUCAGAUUAAGCCAAAGGAAAUAGAUAACGAUGACGUAUUGAAAAAUGAAAGCACAAGACAAAGAGAGGGAGGAUGCUAUAUCACCCAACAAAAGGGUACGACAUCAGAUAAUGUAGGGUGGACACAAUCAUAUCUCCGUCCAAAUUUCCAUCCUAAUACCGGUCUAAAUCUAGAAGGCCAUAACUGUUUUGGAAUAAAUUUUAAUAAUUUAUAUAUAUCAGAAAUUAUAUAAUUUAUGUAUAUUAUUUUUUAAAAUUUGGUAAUCAAAACAAUAAAAGAUAAACAAAAGGUAGAAAAGUAGAAAAAAAAAUACUUGAUAAAAUCCAGUAAUCAAAAAAAUAGUUAGGAGAUAAUUAUGAACUAUAAAAAUAAUUAGCGCAUAGACGGACAUUUAGAUACCGUAUAUAUUAUCGUCUCCAUAUAGCAAUUUUAGUUUGGUAUAACCAAAUCCAAACCAUAUUCCUUAUUUCAGUUAGGUUUUAGUCGCUUUGGUUUUACCGAAUUAAACAUCUUUGAUACCCCGUAUAAACUGGCCAGUUUUUAUAAAAAAAAAUCGUUUUAAAAACAUUUCACUGAUUUGCUGUCUAGGCGAAACGUGGGGAGGGGAAGAGAAAACUGCUUCUUUAUCUUUAUGUAUGAAACCAGGAAAAAUACAUAUCCAAACAAUAUUAACGUGUCAAAACAUUUUUAAACUAAAUAAAAAUUUGAAUUGCAUACCUAAACUAAUAAUAAAUAGCUAAAACAUACCUAUAACCGGUUAUAUAAUGAUUUGGACUAUUUUUUAAUUAUUUUUGUAGUUUAGUCCCUAUAAUUCUAUUUUUUGUUAAUAUGCCUUAAAUAACUUAAAUAAUCAAAUUUAUCGUAUUUAUAAUUUUAAUUUGAAAAGUACAAUUUUAUUUUUUUUCCAGAUUUUAAUUAAAUUUAAAUAAAAAAAUUAAUUAUUUAUCAGAAAUUUAGAUAGUUAUCAUAUACAAUAUAUUAAUUAAUUUAGUUAUCAAAGUAUGUUAUCUACCUUAUUAAAACAUGAAAAUUAAUUAUAAAUAAUCUUACUCGUAUGUAAUAUUUACAAGAAAUACCACCAAAUUUAUAUUUAUAUAAAAUUUUCUUUACAAAUAUAGUCAUUCAAAUUUUAAUCAACAUAACUAAAAAUACUCUUUAGAAAUUUGAUUUUACAGUAGAGAUCUUUAAUAAUAUUACCCUUACUUAAUAAAAAGAAAAGAAUGGCUAUUUAACCAAAAAUAGUUUCGAACGCAGCAUCUCAAGAAAACAAAUAUCGCACAAAACCACUAGACCAUAUUACAUUAUUUUUAUUUUGCUACAAAACUAGUAUGUAAUAUUAAUAAUACACAAAAAGUUUACAAAACUAUUUCCCGAUUAAUUCUCGUAUAAUUACCAAAUAAUUGAUUCGGCGCUAGGUUAGGGUCAAGCGCACACAUUAUGCCUAGUGUAAUUAAUAUUGGUUUUGAUAACUACAAACAAAAAUUACAUAUUUUUAAUUUUAUUUAUAUUAUAUAUAUCACGCAAGCACAUAAUAAGAUUUGCAACUAAAAUAACCUAAGAAAAUAUAAAAAAUAUUUUAUAAACUUUAAGAACUAGUGAGAUUAAAUUAGGCUUUAAAUUAUGAUAUUGUUUUUAUGUUGUUUUCUAUUUAUUUAAAUUUUUUGUAUCAAAUAUUUCAAUAUGAAAUAAUAAUAAUAUAUUUACAUUAUUAAAUCUAUUUUAUUUGAUAAAAAAUAUUUCCAAUUUAUAUAUCACCAUAUAUUAAAAUUUAUUUCCAAUUUUGAAAUUAUAAAUAAGGCCAAUUUGAUGAUUUUAAUUAUUUGUGGUACUUUACAAACAAAUAAAAUGACAAAAAUUAAAAGAUAAUAAUUUAAAAAAAUAAAUCAAUACAUUUUAAAAUGGACUGACAUGUGUCAGUUACGAGACAUGUUUUAUCUAUUUAUUAUGAGUUUAGGUAUGCAAUUCAAAUUAUUAUUUAGUUUGUGAAUGUUUUGGCACGUUAAUAUUGUUUGGGUAUGUAUUUUCUCUGGCUUUAUAGUGCGGAUAUGAAUAAGCCGUUUUCCCGCGAAAGGUGUGUAGACCGCUAUUUAGAAUGUAAAACCCGACCCAGUCAAAAGAACCAGGUGUUAACUAAACCAAAUAAGGAACAAAAUCGGCGCAUCUUUAUUACAUUAAAAGGGAGACUGGCUGGCUACAAUGUGCCUCUGUCAGAAAACGAUACCGUUUUCUCACCCAGUCACCCCUCGCAAGCAAAUCAAAGCAAAAGCAAAGUUCCCAUAUUUAUCCUCAACAAAUGACUAAAUAAAGAAAGAUGCAAACUCUAGGCAGUCUUUUUAUUCAUGCUUUCUUCUUUCACAAGAAAGAGUUUAAAAAAGAAGAAAAUGAUUUGAUGAUUGGAUGUGAGAAGAGCUAUUCAAAGUGAGAGCCACUGUAGUGUAGAACCAUGACAAAUUCAGCACCAGAGUUCCCAACCAUGGCGCUUUUUCUCUCAGAAACUGGAGUAGACUGGACCCACCAAUCCACCAAGUUAUGCAGCUUCUGCGUCGAACACACAGGCUCUUGCCUUAGCCAUAUCUCCACCUGCAACGUCCAACCAAGAUCAAGAUCUGACCUUUUAAGAACCAGAGAGAGACAUAGAAGAAUGAAUUACUUGGUCUUCGCUUUGGAGACCAAGCUUAUACGCUAGAUACUUCUUGACAUAUGAGACAGGUAAGUUUCCAUCUCUGUGAAAAUGCAAAAAAGAAUCACUAUCACACAUUGUGAAUGAAGUUAAUUGUUAAGGAAAGAUCUAGUGAUCACUUACGUUCGUAUGUAUGGAUUGGAGAUUUGUGGCAGUAGUGGCCUCUCUGUCUUCCUGUAAACGCACUCACUUUAUAUAAUCAGAACCAAAAGCUUAAAGGACAAAUGCAAAGAAGAUAGUAGUAAUAAAGUCUUUACUGAUUCGCUGCAGCUAUUAGUGAAAGCCAAACUUUCUUGUUACUUCCUUCAGCUUUUUUUUCUGCUUCUUUAGAAAUGGCUGCUUCUGAUGCACCAUCUGAACUCAUAUUCCCCUGCUUUCGAGGUCUCAAAACCCGAGGAGAAGAAGCUUUUCCUUUCCCCUUCUUACCAGAGAUCUUCCCAGUAGAGCCAUUUUCUUGCUUUUCUUGACCAUUGUUCUUCUGCUUCUCACCAGAGCUUAACAGGACAUUGUUUAUAUUUGCUUGAACAGGGACUUCCUCUGUAUUGCCACCAGAACUAGAUCCAUGGCCUUGAUCUUCUUUGCCAUUUGUAGUUAUCACAGUCUCAACAUUCAGUGCGGUACCGUUACUCUCCUUACCAUUACUCAAGGACUUGCCAAGAUCAUCAGAUGAAGCUGGAACCUUUUGUAUACAUCCAUUAGAUGUCAAUGCUCCAGCCUAUGAUGAUUCAUCACUUCAUCUCAAUAACAAAUAUUAAAGAAACUAAAACGAAUGAUAAUGUAAUAAGUUAUUACUAACCAAAUCAUUGUCUUGUUCAAUGUUGAGAACAAUUUCAAAACCAUUCUCGCUUUCCACAUGAAGCUGUUCCGGUUCCAGUGGGUUCUCAUUCCUUUUAGGCGCCAGGUUUUUCCUUACACGCCUCCUAAAAUUCGAAACUAGUGCGCUCGAGCUUUGGUUCAGAGAAACAGCUUCCAUUUCCUCCUCAAGCUUCUCACUUUCCAAUGGAGCUGGCUCAGGUGAGGUUGAUGCUCUAGGUGAAGUAGCCGUCUUCUUCUUUCUGGAGUAUGUCAAAGAUGCUGAAGCAGUUUCAAUGGCUGCUGCUGCCUUUACGCUUUUUGGCUUUUGUUUGAAGACCUUUAGCCUCAACUCAUCCCACAUGUUAUCCGACCUGCAUUUUCAUAUAUACUUCAGUUUUAUUUGAUAUUUCAUAAACAUCAAGAGGAACAUUGUAUUUGAUAACCUGAGUUUAUCAAGAGGAGCAACACCAAGAUCAACAUUGCAGACAGGACAAGCUUUCAGAUUCUCUACUACCAACUUUUCUUCUAUGCAUCUUUUGCAAACUGUGUUCCCCAAAUACAAGUAGAAGAACAGGAUUUUAAUGUCUUUAUUACCAGAAAGAUGAUAACUUUUCUCAAUUUCAGAGAUUUUUUCAAGCAAACACACAACUAUCUACGCAGAUGAAAUAGAUACUAACAUAACAACAAAGAGAACGUAAGAGGCACUGAUUCGAUUAAAAAACAAAGGCUCACAUGUGUGGAGGCACUCGGAGAUGGUGGUGGCACGGUCGUAGAGAUUGUUACAGAUAGGACAAGAGAAGCAUGCCUUCAUGUCCUGCCUCUUCGCCUUCAAAACAGUCAUCUUCUUCUCCAUUACCAUAUGAAUCUCGGAUACAAAAGAUUCGUUUUUUUCUUUUCUUUUCUUUAUGGGUUCACGUAAAGCAGCAUGGUGCAUGUACUACGACGAAGAAACCAAACGGCCAGACGAUAAAGUUUGAAGCUUUAUCGUUGAUUUCGCAGAAACAGAGACGCGAAAGUUUGAAACUUUUCGUUCUCCUCUCGCUCGUUCGCUCCGGGGAAAACGAAAUCUCUGUAAUAAGUGAGGGUUUUGAUUGUUGGAGGUUAAUUUGCUUAAUAUGUAAUUUUUUUACGAGAGGGGUUGGAUUUGAAACUUUUACAAAAUUAGAGAGCUCAAAGUGAAAAAGAUUGAUUUGGAGGGCCAAAAAGAAAAAGGAAAAACAUUUAAUUCUUAAUCGGGAUGGGAAACUUGUGUAACGCAUGUUUUAUUCAACAGUAAAUAAAACAGAAAAUUACUUUGUAUAUUUUUAGGGAAUUAAAAAUAUCUCUUCUAUAUUAUUUAAAAAAAUUGAAAUAAAUUACUCACAAAUUUUUAAAAAAGUUAUAUGUAUUCACAAAAAUUGUUUGUUAGUAAUCAAAAAUAUUUUUCUUUUUUUUUUGGAGAAAAAGUGUUAUUUUAAAUUGGCGUACACAUAACCAAUAUUAAUUUCAACAUAAUAAUUUAAAUAAUAUAUUAAAGUAGAGGUUGUUCAGCGCUUGGCGCAUAAAAAUUAUUUUUUUGUUAUUAUUUUAUUUUUGUUUUAAAAGUCUAGUCAUAUAUUUAUGUAUGAAUUAUUAUUUCGGUGACUGUUCUUUUCUAUUAAAUUCAAACCUGGUUUCGAUUAACUAUUUUUAUUUUCGUAUGACUAAACAUGAGAAAAAUAUUUUUAUUUUUAAUUAUGUUUUUCGUAUGACUAAAAUUAUUUGGCUUUUCUAUGAAUUAUAAUUCCAUCAGCUAUACUAUUUUAAUUUUGUAUGACUAAACAUGAGAAAAAUAUCAUAGUUUGUUUUUCCCCUUUGGCUCUAAUGAUUUAUUUAAUUCUUAUAUAUUUUAGAUUUUAUUAUUAUUGUUUUAUAAAGUAUAUUUUCAGAUUGAUCUUAAUUUUUUAUUAGAAUGAAAAUAAAGUAUUAACUCAUCUUAUGUUUUAUUAAAUAUUGUAUUAAUAAAUUUGGGUAAAAGAAUAAAAUUAUAUAAAAUAUGGUUUAGUUAAUUGAUACACUAAAACUGAACUCUUCCUACUAUCAAGUUAACAGUGAUAAUUGUAGUAAUUGAGAUUCAAUCCAGAGGACCAGUCUACACUUUAUUCUUAUGCGUUUUCAACUUAGCUAAAACUAAAAUGGGUUUUGAAUUAAGUAGUGACUUGCAAGUAGAGUAAAAGAUUUUAAAAGGUUUAGAUUCGAUAUUGAGAAUAAGCUGAUCUAGGGUUUCUCAUCGGGUGUUAAAACUUAGCCAAACAUUUAUUCAAGCUCGUUAAGACACGAUCUAGAACACGGAUCACUCUUAGUAGAACAGUCCACUGUCGUAGUGCUGUUCCCUUUGCGGUCCGACCUUGACGCCUAAACUGUCGUUUGGAUCAAGGAUCGGUCGCAAGCUAUAGAGAUCAAGUCCGAUAAGUUCACUGAACACUCUAGCAUCUACUUUCGCUGGCUAGAGAUGUUCAGCUCAUUCAUUCGAUAUCAGGUAGACUACUACACGGUUAGUGGGUGAUCGGACCUAAGAUCUAGCAAUAAGUGAUCAGGUUAGAACUAGCAUUAAGAACUAGAAUGAACGAAGAAACGAUAAGUGCUUAUUUAUGUGUAACCUUGCGUUUAACACCCUAGAACCCUAGACAAGCUAGACGACUACUCAGCCAUAACACAAGAUGAACAGGACAUAAUAACUGAAUAAUACUGCAUGUAAAUCAAAGGUAAAACAAUAGGGUUCAAGAUGAUCUUCUCUGUCCAGAAGAGGAGCCGUCUCCCUUACAAUAGCAAUAUCCAAGAAUAGGUCUAGGUCUUUUUGCCAAAAACUAGCGUAAAGAAAUAAGAUAGAUAGGGGUCGCUUUUAUAUGGAAGCGCCCAUAGACUUCAGAGUGGAGAAUCGGCAACCAGGGAAAAUUUUUGGAAGAUAUGGAAAUUUCCAUAAUUAUCGAGAACAAUCGUCUGGCUGUUCCUGGUAGGAUCGACCGUAAGACUGCUCCGCGGAUUAUUCUUCAGGGGAAAUCUCCAAUCCUUGCUCUUUUCUUCAUGCAUAUUCCUUAAGCUCUUCAAUCUUCUCCAGACCUGAAAUGACUCAAAAAAGACUAGACUAACUCGAUAAAACAACGAAAACAAGUUAGAAAUCAUAUACACAAUGAUGUCAAAAACACCAUAUAUCAUUAAUAAUUUCAUAAAUAAUAAUGAAGGAAUCAAACAACUUUUUUAAAAAAAUUUACAUGUUUAUUCAAAAAAAGUUCUAUGUUUUUACUGAAGUUAUAUAAUAGAGUUAUUUUUUUAUGUAUUAUUUUUUCUUAUUAAUUUCUUAAAGAGUUUUUCAAUGAAUCAGUUACGUGAAUUCUGAAUCCUGAGAUGGUGCAAAUGCCAAAGACGAUGAAUUUAGUUUUUUUCUUUUUCUCUAUUUUUGUUCAUACCACCGAUAAUUAUUGAUAACUCACAAAUUUUCAAUUUAAUUUUUUGAUUCUUGGAACUAGUAUUUGUAUCUAUCUUUACUUUAAAAAAACUUUUUAUUGAAACUUCGGGAAGUACUUUAGAAACAUCCCUACUUGCAAGAGUGCCAGACGUAGCCUUGUGCCUGGCCAUUGGUGGUGCUUCCGCAUUCUUCCAAAGGACCUCUUAUCGAGUCCAAAUACAUGUCUUAUUUUUUAGUAAUCCAUAUUUAUAGCAAUAAAAUACGAUUGUUCCUUCACCAAGUAAUAAGAUAAAUUAGUAAUUAAAAAUAUCUAUUCGUAAAGGCAAGCAAGAGCCUAGACGAUUUCCACACAUCGAAGAAAGAAAGUGAAUCGUUUGUCUGAUUACAAUGGGACCUAAGAUAGCCCUAACUCGUCUUUUGGCUAGAGAAAGUUUAGAAUCAAUAUCCAUCUAUCUGCUCCUAUGCUGCUUCUCCUUCCGCUGGAUGAGUGAGCUGAAGGGAUAUCUAGAUGAUCCGAUCGAUUGCGUAAAUCGAAGUGGUGCCCUCCUCUAAGAAAGAAGGUUUCAGUCUCAUUCAACCAACUCUCUUUUUGAAGCAGAUAGUUCACGAGAUAAUUGAGUAAGUUAAGAUAGAUGUCACAAUUUGAACCAAAGGCCUUUUUAGUGCAGAAAAUUCUAGCGUAGAUUUACUAAAAUUAGGCAAAGCAGGAUUCCUUUUUUUUUUAUUUCAGAUCCUUUUUGUAUAAAAACCCAUUGGAUGGGUCUUUUGAACUUUAACAAAAAAAGGCCUCUAGAUCUUCUUCUGGAAUCAUAUAACUGUCAAAAGUGAGUGACUGCUCAUCGGAACUGUUAUAGUCAUGGAACUGCUAUGUAGGCUUUUGUUUACCGGGGGUUCGAAUCCCUCUCUUUCCGUACCUUUACCUAAUUCAUCAACGUUACCGACCUGUUAACUUUUUAAACAACUUAUUUUGAUGAGGUGUCAUCGUGAGAAAAGAGUGUUUAACUUUAAUAAUAUUAUUUUUAUUAAAUUAUUACUUUUUGACUAAAAUUUUCAUCAAAUUUUACUUAUAUCAUGUAUUUCACUAAGAUUGUAUUGUUUUAUUUGUUAUAGUUUAUUAUUUUUUUCAAACUGAUUUUCAUUUAAAUCUUUAUUUUUAUUAAGUAUUAAUUUUUGACUUUUAUCAUUUUUAAAAAACUUCUAAGCUUGAGUUUGGUGAAAAAUAAAAAAUAAAAAAUGUGAGUUCACUCUUUUUAACUUUGAUUGGUUUUAGGUUUAAUGAAACGUGAAAAAGAUAUCGUAAAUUGAAUUUGCUUUUUUUCUUAUUAACUUCCCUGUUUAAUUUUUAACUUUAUGUAUUUGGAAUAUCUUAUAUAUUUUUCAUUAGAUUAUUAUUUUUAACUAAAUAUUUCACAAAGUUCAUUAUAUUGUAAAUUUCAACUAAAUAUUUACGGUUGUAUUUGUUAGUUUUUCUGUUUUGUUAUAAAAAUAUGUUUUAAUUAUGUAUUAACCAUUGAUUAUGGUUUUCCAUUUUUUUUUAAUGAUUUCUCUCAGUUUAAAAUCGGUACCACAAAAAGGAAAAUUUUCCUAAGGUUAACUCUUUUUAUUUUUGUUAGUUUGAGUUUGAUGGAACAUUAAAACGUUAGCGUAAAUGGAUUUCUCUCUUUCUUGUUCGUAUAAAAAUAUUUAUUCUUAAAUUUAUGUAUUACAUAUUAAAUAAUUUAUAAAAUUAAUAUAUGUUGAUAAAUUAUUGAUGAUAAAAAUUUGGUUGAAUUUAAAAUAAAUUACGAAUUAUAAAUAUUGAUAGGUUAUUAAAUGCUUUUAAUAUAUUUGUUUAAAUAUUAUAAAGAUGAAAAACAUGAGAUAAUUUAUUAAUGUUUAAAACUUAUGAUGAUGUGUCAAUUUUUGGUGCACUUCUUGAUGAAAUAAAAACUUGAUCAUAAGAGAGAAACCUCUAAGUUGUAUAUAUAGAUGUAUUGUUGUAUCAUACAUUUUAGAAAUUAUACUAACUGUGUAAGAUUAUAUUGUAUACAUUAUUUUAUAGUUAUCAAGAAUAUCUAUAAAAUUCAAUAUAUGUAUCACUAAAACUGUUUGAUAAAAAAUAGAAAACAUAUGUGUUUAAUUUUUAGCUGAAACUAUAAUUCUACUCUGUUUUUUUUUUGAAAAACAUGCAUGUAUAUUAUCUUAUGUCGUACCUACUAGCUAGUAAGGAAAGGGGAAAGGGACAACACCAAUUUCAACAAUUUUCGUCAUGGUUUUUUUCUACUCAACUUUUAUACAGUGCUGAUUCAUAAACUAGCAUUUAUUUCAAAAAAAAAUAAAAUUUCAUCAACUUAAAUAGACUUAUAUAGACUCUGCAAAUCAAACUGGUAACUCCGGAUGAGAAACGACGGUUGGUUCCUGCACUGCGUGCGAAACUAUCCGCUCUUGAAUUAUGUGUCCGUGGUAUAUGAAUGAGUUCUGAACUAUUGAAAUUUUUCUUCAAGAUCUUUAUGUCUUCCAAAUAACUUGCAAAAACUCUCCAAAUGAAAAAUAGACACUAUGUAACUUUAUUGCAUUGGAAAAAACUAUGUUACGGACCCCCCCUUUUUAGGUAAUUAUUUCGGAGAAAGGAUUAAUAUUUGUUCUAUUCUGUUAGUAAUAAUGGAACAAUUCGAUUCAUAGGAAAAAAGGGAAGCGGAUCUAUUCUAUAUCCGAUAAGUACCAAUACGCAAUGGGGGUGAAUCCUAUGUUAUAUGAACCAAGAUAGCUAUUGUUGUUCAGAAGCCCGUUCGUAAAAAGUUUCCUUUAAUUUUUAUUCAUUCUCUCUUACUUUACUUUUAUUUUAUAUUUUAUUUUAGCUUAUUCAACUUCUGUAUUAAAUAUGAUUAAUUUAAAUAUGAUUAAUAUUAAUAAAGUAGGAAAAAAGGAUAAUAUGAUAAAAAAAAAUGAAACCCCAGUCUUACGUUUCCACAUCAAAGUGAAAUAGAGAACUUCAUUCUCUUUUUUUUUCAUUUCAUGCCUAUUGGCGUUCCAAAAGUACCUUUUCGAAGUCCUGGAGAAGGAGAUACAUCUUGGGUUGACAUAUAGUGCGACUUGUCAGAUAUAUUGGGCUAUAUGGGAUUUCCCCAUUUUCUCCCUCGAUCGAGAUAUCCUCUGUUUCGCUCAAAAAGAUUGAUUGAAUUAUCAAAAAUUUGUAACGCGAAGCGCAAAAAAUAAAUUAGAAUUAAAUGCAGGGAGUAUUUAGAUUGAUAUUAGAUUAUCAAAAAUUUUUUAUGGUUUACGUGAUCGGACUAAUAAAAUUAAGUAUCCAGGCUCCGUUUAGCAAAAAUCCAAUUGAUAAUUAAUAUAUAAUAUUUUUAUAAUUACUACUUAAUAUGAUAUGAAUAUGAUAUCAAAAUUAUGAUAAAAAUUCUAUUAAAAAAUAAAAAAAAUACAAAAAAUUGAAACAGGGUGAUCUAAAACUGUUGAUCAAAUAAAAUAAUAUAAUUAAAAAUUUAUUGACUAUUUGACAGAAGACAUGUGAAAGAAAUGAAUUGAAAAAAAAAGAAGGAGUAGUAAAAAAAAAAAAGACGCGGUAUUUGGUUCAUUUGUCCUAUAUGUGCAAAUCAAAAUCGGGCAAAUUUUUCCUUUUACUCGGAGUAGAGCAUAAACCUAAAAAAACGGAAUAAAAAAAGGAAGAAGCCCAUUCAGGAACAAGAAAAAACCAUCCCCAUUUCAACUGAAUCUCGAUGAAAAAAAAAUAUCAAUGAAUCAAGUUAGUCUGACAGGCCUAAUCAAUCGUUUUAUUAUUUUAUUAUUAGGAUUAUAAUAUCUAAUAAAUAAAAGGGGCCAAAACUUAUUUAUUUUUUCUUUUACUUUUAAAAGGGAAGCAAGCCCUUCCCUUAUUAAGUUAGAAAGAAAAGCCUUCUCUGAAAAAAAAAAGGGGGUUGGAAUCGACACAUUGAUUUUUUAACAAUUUUUGUUGAACCGUAUGCAUCAAAAGGUGCCUGUACGGCUCCUAAGGAAUAAAAUUUUAUCCUAAUCAACCGACUUUAUCGAGAAAGAUUGUUUUUUUUAGGCCAAGAGGUUGAUACCGAAAUUUCGAAUCAACUUAUUAGUCUUAUGAUAUAUCUCAGUAUAGAAAAGGAUACCAAAGAUCUUUAUUUGUUUAUAAACUCUCCUGGUGGAUGGGUAAUAUCUGGAAUGGCUAUUUAUGAUACUAUGCAAUUUGUGCGACCCGAUGUACAGACAAUAUGCAUGGGAUUGGCCGCUUCAAUAGCAUCCUUUAUCCUAGUCGGAGGAGAAAUUACCAAACGUAUAGCAUUCCCUCACGCUUGGCGCCAAUGAGUUUUUUUAUUUUAGAGAAAAAAUACUAUGCCUUCGCCCUCGGAAAUAUGAAUUAGUUAAGUAAUAAUAGCAUGGCACUUCGAAUUCGAUAUGAAAUUUUUUAGAUUCAAAAAAUUAGAUUAUAUAUUGAAAGAGUAGUAUGGGAUAAGAAAGGGGUAUUUAAAAUGAUAUCUUCCCUAUUCGGGCACAUCCCAGCGUCACAAACUUUGUUUUCACACCGGAAGCUUAUUUACAAAAACAAAAAAAAAGACACUUUGGGAUUGCUGAAUCAUAGACGGAUCAAAAAAAAUGAUAUAUAAAGCAACGGAACCAUCAUAGUAUUUUUUUAACUCCUACAAAACAAAAAAGAAGGAUGGUAAUUGGAUCAUUUAUGGAUCCGCGUAUAAUAGAACCUAUAUUUUGUUUUCUUUCGCCGAAAGGAAAGGUCAAAAACGUAAAUUCCAUUCUAGAGCCGUAUGCAACGCACAAAAAAAGCCUGUACGGUUAUUCAAAUUUCUCUGUUUUUUUGGUUAUCUCGCCUCAUUCUGCGAAAUAGAAAAAGCUUUUCUAUUAUAUCAUCAGGGUAAUGAUCCAUCAACCCGCUAGUUCGUUUUAUGAGGCACAAACGGGAGAAGUUAUCUUGGAAGCGGAAGAACUACUAAAACUUCGCGAAACCAUCACAAGGGUUUAUGUACAAAGAACGGGCAAACCUAUAUGGGUUGUAUCCGAAGACAUGGAAAGGGAUGUUUUUAUGUCAGCAACAGAAGCCCAAGCUCAUGGCAUUGUUGAUCUUGUAGCGGUUCAAUAAAAAUAGGAGCGAUUUCAUGCAAAUCUACCACUGCUAAUUUUAUAUCUUUUUAGAUUAAAGGUUUAGUUUCAUAUUCUCUUCAAUAUAAAAAAAAAUAUAUUGAAGAGAAUCUUGAAGAGAAGUAAUUCAGAAUUAGCCGGUUAGAACCCAUCUAAACCAGCCCAUUAUUUAUAUGAUUCCGUAUGCCAACCAUUAAACAACUUAUUAGAAAUACAAGACAGCCAAUCCGAAAUGUCACAAAAUCCCCAGCGUUUCGGGGAUGCCCUCAGCGACGAGGAACAUGUACUCGGGUGUAUGUGCGACUCGUUUAGAUCAUAGACUGAAACACAAAAAGGAAAUUCUUUUUGAAAUAUCAAGGAUCAGUACCUGUUAAUAAAAUAAAAUAGAAUGGAGGAACUCGAUUCAUUAUUUCAAAAAGAUAGAUCAUUCAUAUCUUCUAUUGUGUCUGAAACUUAUGGUUUACAUUGGUG
This 49234-nucleotide long non-coding RNA is filed under the name Brassica napus (rape). RNAcentral describes it as "long non-coding RNA (BNAP_LNC013423)". The record is from RNAcentral. Lineage: Eukaryota; Viridiplantae; Streptophyta; Magnoliopsida; Brassicales; Brassicaceae.